UACUGGUCUGAUUCUGAUGUGGUACUGGUUUAUAAACCUGAUUUUGUUGGUUGUUUUGGUGAUUCCUCUGAUUGUUUUGAGGAUAGCCUAUAAAGUUCUUUUUCUUUUGUGUCUGCCAUUGGUCUUCUUGCAUUUUUUGUUGAUCCUGGUGAGUUCUUGAUGGUUGCUCUUUGGUACCUGAAACACUAGCAGAAAUAUUAUUUUUAACAGGUUGAGAAUUAAUUGGUAGAGUAGUUACCUCAGUGUCAUUUCAUUCUGCUGUUUUGGUUUUGUUCUUGUUUGCUGCUUCAGCCUCCUUUCUUCUUCUAUAUUCAUCAUCUCUCCUCUUGACACAUGUAUGGACUUUACGGCCUUGGUGUUUGCAGUAAUCACUAUCCUGACUUGUUGGAGCCUGUGGAAAACUAGAUGUGCAUGCAAAUAUGGUGGAAACAAAUCUAAUAUGCCUAGAGUGAUAUACUUGGUGCAUCAGAUGGCCAUCCAAGUGGCCUGAGUUGAUACAGUUUGCAGGAAAUUACUUCCAUGAAAUCAAAAUUACAAAGGUAAGUUGAUUUAAGCCAGGAAAGAUAAGAGCUGGUGGUAUUGUUAGACUUGCCCAAGGUGAUUUAAACUAUGCUUAUGCUACUCCACUAGGCCAUGGUACCAGCAACCACGCAUGGAUUGAAGCUGCUCAAUGGGGUAUAUCUUGGUGUCUAAAUUGGCUUUAACCAGGUGAUUUUGGAAGUAGACUCCGAGUUAGUCGUUCACUGGAUAAAACAACAAGCUGCUCUACCUUGGAAUUUGCAGCAUGUGAUCAAUUCCAAUCAUUUUCCUGUAAUCACACCUUUAGAGAGGCUAACUUUAAUAGCAUGUUUUAUUUAAAACUAUACAUAACAGUGAAGUCCCUCAACAUUACUUCCAUGUCCACCAGCUACCAAAAGAAGCUAGAGGAUAGUAACAUGCUGGACAACAGUGAGAUGCCAAAUUUUAGAAGAAGAUCAGAGAACCACCUUGAUCCGACAGCUUUGCAUAUGGUUCAUGUGAAGAUGCCCUUUUGUUUUUUUCUUGGUUUUUCUUCAUACUUUGUAAGGGGAGAGUCUCCCUCAUUUAUCGCUUUCCUAGAUUACUUGUAUUGAGAGGAGUCCUCUCUUCUAGGUGCAUAGUUGAUCUAGGUUUCUUUUCUAGUAUCGGGGAUGAGUUAGCCGUCCUUAGUAGGAUAGUCGACUUAUGUUUCACCAUAGGAUCGGAGGUAAGGUUUAUGUCCCCUCCUUGUAUUUCCCUUGUUUUUGUUUUAUUAAUGAUAAGGCCUGGGGUGUUGCUCAAUCCAUGACCCACCUCAAGGGUCACGAAAAAAAAACUUCAAGUCAUAAACCCUAAACCUUCGGGCCUAACCCUAAACUCUAAUCUCUAAACCUUAAACCUUAGGGCCUAAACCGUAAACCCUAAACCUUUGGGCCUAACCCUAAGCUCUAAUUCCUAAACCCUAAACCUGAUGACCUAAACGUUUAACCUUUUAGGGCCUAAACCCUAAACCUUAAACCUUAGGGUAGGAUCCUAAACCUUAAACCUUAGGGUAGGAUCCUAAACCCUAAACCUUGGGGCGUAAACCCUAAAACAUAAACCAUAAAUCCAAAACCCUAAGUCUCAGAGCCUAAACCCUAAGCCUUAUGCCCUAAACCUAAACCUUAGGACCUAAAACUUAAACCUUGUGGCCUAAAUCCUAAACCAUAAACCAUAAACUCUAAAUCUUAUGGCCUAAACUCUUAAACCUAAAUUCUAAACCAUAAACCAUAAAUCUUAGGAUCUAAACCCUAAAUCAUAAACCUUAGGGCCUAAACCAGAAAUCCUAAAACCUAAACUUAGGGCCUAAUAUCUAAACGCUAAAUCCUAAACCUUAGGGCCUAAACCCUAAACCAUGUACCCAACCCUAAACCCUAGACUCUAAACCUUAUACAUUAGGGCCUAAAAUUUAAAUCCUAAACUCUAAGUCUUAGGGCCUAAACCCAAAACCAUAAAUCAUAAACCCAAAACCCUAAGCCUUUGGGCCUAAAUGCUAAACCCUAAACCUUAGGACAUAAAAAAUUAUGAACUCUAAAACUUAGGGCCUAAACUGUAAAUCCUAACCCCUUAACCAUAAACCCCAAACCUUUAACAUUAAACCCUAAACCCUAAACCUUAAUGCCAAAACCCCAUCGCAUCCUCAUUUCCCUAAUUAUUUCUCUCUCUAAAAAUUCUCUCUAGAGACAACCGACUUUUACCGGAAUGGCAACAGAGCCGUCGGUGGAGCAGCUCUGGCUGCCGGACCAAAGCCAUUUGAUGCAGAAUUCGAAUACGAACAAAACCCAACCAGGCGCAUCCUCAGAUUCAUCCGACAACUCUUCAAAAUUGCAAAGAACUGAAGCGAUCCAUGUCGCGAUUUCAAAGCGAGAGUUGGACUGGGCACGUAAAAUUAUUUCCCUAGAAAAAUCUGGAAUGAUUCGAGUUAAUUCAGUAGGGAAUCAUGAUUCUCCAUCCCACGAUCUAUCUUCAGUCCAAAAAUCAAGCGAUUGCACCCUUCAAAUUGAUAGAUCCAACAAGGCGAUUUUGGGAGGAAUCGCCUGGCACGCGCGUGCAGAUUCGACCACCUUCUGAGGAGAUGAAUGAGUUUUCAACCACUGGGGAGUCUUCCCCAAGGAGUACAUCUUACUGAAAUUUCUAAUCAUUUUCAUGGUGGAAUCACCGGCAGGUCAAAGUCCGGUGAAGUCGCCGGAGCUCCGGUCAACAAUAGGGACAAAGGGCUGUGCCAAACGAUUCCUCUUGAUGAAGCCAACCCUCUAAGGUAUCAGAAUUCACUAAGAAACAUCAAAAUGAUGUGUAUUUCGAUUAACCUGCAGGACAAAGAGGCAACAAAUGCAGAUGAUCAUUAGGAUAAGCUCAGGCCACAAUCAAGCAUGAACAAUUCUGUACAAGAUAUUAGUGAACUGAAAGAAGCUAACAACAAGUCAAAAAUGGCAUAUGGUGUACAAUCCAAGGAGCACAACAUUAAUAAUCCAAGAGGUUGGCAAGAAACAGGGGAGGAGCUGACUGGUAUUCUGAAUCAAGCGAACAAGCAGGUGAAGGAACAGAUGCAAGGCCAAGAGGAAAAUAAUGGAAUUACACAGCAGCACCAGGAGAUCAGGAGCACACAACAAAGAGAACAACAUGUAGCCAAGGAAGUGAUCAAGACAAGUUCAAUCCAGCAGGAAGAAUUAAUGCAGACAGGUCAGGAUACCAACUCUAAAAAGCUCUUAGAAAUCAAUAAUACAGUGCAGGUGAAGGAAAAGCAGCAUAAUUUAGGACAAAUGCAGGCUGGUAAGACCUCUAAUACUCACAUUGUGGCUACUGAUAAUAAUUGUGUCUCACCUCAGUUGCAUUUCAAUGCAACUGAGCAUAACAGCCCAGGCUUCAGUUAAACAGGUUCAGGAUCAGCCAAAGGAGACUAACAAAAACAGGGGAAUGGUGAUCCAUCAAGACAACAACAUAGCAAUGGGAAUUAUGGUAAAAAUUUCUCAUUUCAUCAGAGUGAUUUCCCCCAAAUCUCUAAUAAUUAUGGCAAGUACAAUCCCAACAAUCAGCAAGGAAAAAAAGAGAACUCUGAACCCCCCCCCCUCCCCUCAAGGAGCAUAACAAUCAAAUGGCUCAACAACCUCCCAAAAAGGAUGUGAUUCAGGAACCAGCCCCUUACACUGUGGUACAAACCUAUGCUGCUAGACUGAGGCUCAAUCAAGCAAAAACUAAUCUGCCUAUAGUCUUUGAUACUCCUAAGAUCACUACUAAACAAGGUCUGCCAGCUACUAUAUUUAAGGAGGACUUCAUGAUUAAUUGGGCUGAUAGAUCACUACUGUAUACUCUUAUUGGGAAAUUCAGCAAUACCAUGCCUAAAGUGGAGCUCAUUAGAAAGAGUUUCAUAACUCAAACACAAUUAUCUGGGGGGGUUAAGAUAGCUCAUUACAAUGCUAGACAUGUUUACAUUGAUCUUGACAAUGAUUUGGAUUAUAUUACUGUCUGGACAAAACAAAGAAUGACCAUAGAGGGACAGCCUAUGAGAAUCCAAACUUGGACUCCUACAUUCAAACCUGAGGAAGAAAUUCCCAUUGUGCCCAUUUGGAUAGCUUUACCUGCACUGCCAUGGCAUUGUUAUAACAAAGAGAUUGUGUCUGCCCUCCUAUCUCCUAUAGGAAAGGUUCUCUAUCUAGAUUCAGCUUCUGUUCAGAAAACUAGGGGUAGUUUGGCUAAAGUAAGGAUACAAAUGGACCUCACCAAAGAAAGACCACCACAUGUUUGGAUGGGUUUCAAUGAAGAGGAUUUGACUAAGGGAAGGUGGCAAGCUAUUGAGUAUGAGAGUGUCCCUGAAUAUUGUGGCUACUGUAAGCACCAAGGGCACAUGAUACAAAUUUGUACAACCAAACAAAGAGAUGAGGAUUAUCAAAAAAGAAAAGAAAUGGAGGCAGAGAAGAAGAAUAAACCAAGGAGUGAUCAGGAAAAAAAGGAAAAUUUCACCAGUCAACCUAAUGGGGAGUUCAACCAGACAGCUACUACAUCCAAUGAGAUAAUACAGACUCACCAAGAGAAGGAAGCAAAAGAUCAUGAACAACAAUGGCAGACUCAGAAAAGGAAGCAAAAUAAAAAUCAAGAACACCCUAUCCCCAAGACUGUAUGGAGACCUGUAUCACCUCAGCACAAGGGAACCAAGGACAACAUGCAACAAGCUCCACCACAAUCAGGUAUACUAUCUACAAUUCCUACUCACAAUAAUUACACUGAUUUUCUUGCUGGAACAGUCAGACAAAGGUAAAGCUGAAGUGGACAACAAUAACAAAGCAGCAGACCAAGGAGUUCAAGCAGUUCAAGGGUCAGAAAAUGACUCAUCUCUAUUAAACAUCCACAAUAAAAUAUAUAUGCAAAAAGAACAGGUCACAGCCACCAAAAGCAACAAGAUCACAGGUAUUGACUCAGUACUCCCACUACCCCAUCACCCCAAUGUUAUUUAUGUUGAUGUUGAGAUUGCUGAUGAAGUUUCUGGAGGGAUGGAUGGAGGGUGUAAGGAGAAACCAACAAUUUGAGUGAUAUGGAGGGCAAUAUUACUCCAAGUCAAAAACAGCAGCAAAAGGGUUAUUUGAGUGCUACAAAAGGGCAACAACAGCAGAAUACUGAGAACAGGCUGGAAGAAAAUACCAACAACAAAUCAAAGGGUAAACUAAGCAAGAAGAGAAGGGAUGCUAUCAAGAAAAAACAGCAAAAGGAGAAUGAGCAACAAGGUUAUUAAUGAACAAGAUAAAAGUCAGGCAAAAGAUCAUAAUCAGCAGAAAAAUAAUGGCAGGUCUGGUCAAAAUUCUGAAUAUGAAGCUACCUUCUGAGGAUGAAUUUGAUGAGGAUACACAAUCCAUUGAUGCAAAUGAGGCUGAUGAGGAGGAAGAGGAAACCAGUGCAUACUUGAUCAAAGCUUUUGGAUCUACUUUUCACAGUGAAUUCCAUGAAGAGAUUCAGGAAGUUGCUGACCAACAAGGUCUUUCCCCUAGAGGAAGGAAGCAAACUAGACAGAAUACCAAACAAGCUACCAUGAGUACAUCUGCUACUUCUAGCAGACCCAACACAAGGUCCAGAAGUAAAGGUUUUUAAUGAUCAGUACACUGUGUUGGAAUGCUAGAAGCAUCAAUUCCUUGGUUCAUUGGAAAGACUCCAAAAUCUCAAGAAAAUGCAUAAUAUUUCUAAGAUGGCUAUUCUUGAACCAUUCUCAGAUAUUCCCAACUCAACAAUUACAAGAUCCAGUUAAAUAUGGAUAAUGCUUGUUGUAAUCAAAAUGGAAAAAUUUGGCUUUUCUGAAAUAAUGAUAUGAAUUGUCAGAUUUUGGAAGUGGAUGAUCAACAUAUUACAUGUAUCUUAAAUCAUUUGGAGUACAAGGAGAAGUUUAUGAUCUCCUUUGUCUAUGCUAAAUGUAAUGAGAAACUGAGAAGACCUCUAUGGGACAGGUUACUUCAUUUUUCCAGUUUAGAUACUCCAUGGAGUACCAUUGGAGAUUUUAAUGUGAUUACCUCUCCGGAAGAAACAUAUGGAGGCCUUCCCUACAACAUGAACAAGAGUUUUGAAUUCAUAAGUGUGAUAGAAGCCUGUGGUUUAAUGGAUUUGGGGUACAAUGGUCAACAUUACACUUGGUGCAACCAAAUAACUGAGGCAGCUAGGAUAUGGAAAAGGCUAGACAGAGCCAUGGUGACAGAAAAAUGGCUAGAGGUGAUGCCUCAAACUACUAUAUCUCACCUUCCUUCUGUUGGUUCAGAUCAUACACCUUUACUCAUGGAAAUUGUGAGCAGAACUGACAACAAAAUAAAAUACUUUAACUGAUUUUCUGAACACAGUGAAGGCAUGUUGGGAGAGAGAAAUUCAAGGGAACCCUAUGUGGAAACUCCAUCAGAAAAUGAAAAGAUUGGCUUCCACUUUGAGCAAUUGGUCUAGAAGUGAAUAUUGGGAUAUCUUCAAGAAUGUGAUGGAAUAUGAAGAAAAAGUCAAAGUUGCAGAAGAGGAGGUCAUUCAGAAUAAUUCAGAAGAGAACAGAGCUAAGUUGCACCAGACCAAUGCCAACUACAUCAAAUUCCUAAAACCAGGCUUCUAUUAUGAAACAGAAGACUCAGCUUCAGUGGUUCAAGGAAGGAGAUGUCAAUUCUAAAUAUUUUCACACUAUCAUGAGGGGAAGAAGAAGAAGGUGAUUCAUUCACAAGAUUUGCAAUGACAAUGAUGAAUGGGUUCAGGGGGAUGAAUAUAUUGCCAAAGCUGCCUGUGAUUAUAUCCAGCAUUUUUUCACUGGUCAUAACAACAGAAUUAAUACUGAGAUUCUCAAUUGCUUAGACAGGAGGGUCUCACCAGAACAAAACCAAAUGCUCCAGGAGAUGCUACCCUGGAUGAAGUUAAGCAAGUAGUUUUCUCUAUGAAUCCUAAUUCUGCCCCUGGCCCUGAUGGAUUUGGAGGAAAGUUUUUUCAGGCAUGCUGGGAUAUUAUCAAGGAGGAUCUGCUUUCUGCUAUCCAUGUUUUUUUCUGUGGUGCCAUCAUUCCUAAAUUUAUGUCUCAUGCUUGCCUUGUUCUUUUGCCCAAGGUUGACCAUCCUAAUAAGUUCAGUGAAUUCAGACCCAUAAGUUUGAGCAACUUUACCAACAAGAUCAUCUCCAAACUUCUUUGCCUCAGAAUUGCUCCUAUACUCCCUAAUCUUGUCUCUGAGAACCAGUCUGGCUUUGUAAGGGGUAGGAGUAUUUCUGAGAAUAUCAUGUUAGCACAGGAGAUCACUCAUGGCAUUAAAAAACCCAAUGAAGGAGACAAUGUGAUAAUCAAGCUAGAUAUGGCUAAGGCAUAUGACAGAGUGUCUUGGUCCUAUACUAGCUUGGUUCUUAGGGCUAUGGGAUUUGGUGAGAUUUUUAUUGACAUGGUGUGGAGAAUCAUGAGUAAUAACUGGUACUCUAUGGUGGUGAAUGGGACCAGACAUGGCUUCUUCCAUCAAACAAGGGGACCCACUAUCACCAGCAUUAUUCAUUUUGGGUGCAGAGGUUCUUACUAGAAUGCUAAAUCAGCUUCAUCAGAUUCAGGGCUACAAGGAUUUUCAGAUGGAACCUAGAGGACCUCAAAUCAAUCACUUAUGCUUUGCAGAUGAUGUGAUUUUGUUUACUGCAGGUACAAGGAACUCACUGAGACUAAUUAUGAAGACUCUUAAUACUUAUGAAAGGGUAUCUGAUCAACUGAUCAUCAAUAAGGAUAAGAGUCACUUCAUGGUUCCUAGUAACAGUCCCAAUGACAUUAUUUGCAUGAUUAAAGAGAUCACUGGCUUCACUCAGAAGAAUAGCCCAAUUACUUACUUAGGAUGUCCUUUGUACAUUGGGGGGAAAAGAAUCAUCUACUACUCAGAUCUUGUGGCUAAAGUGGUUAAAAAGAUCAGUGGUUGGCAAUCCAAGAUUCUUAGUUAUGGAGGAAAAGUCACCUUAGUGAAACAUGUACUUCAGUCAAUCCCUAUUCACACCAUGGCUGCUAUUUCACCUCCUAAGAUCACCAUUAACUACAUUAAAAGAAUUACUGCUGAUUUCUUUUGGGGGUGGGAAAAGGAGAGAAAGAAAUACCAUUGGGCAUCAUGGGAAACUCUAAGCCUACCUUGUGAUGAAGGUGGUAUUGGGGUUAGACAAUUAGAGGAUGUUUGCACUUCACUACAAUAUAAGCAAUGGUGGAUAUUCAGAACCAAAAACUCAUUAUGGGGGCAGUUUUUGAAGGCCGAGUACUGUAAAAAAGCUAAUCCAGUAGCCAAAAAGCUUGACACUGGACAGUCAUUGGUUUGGAAUUAUUUGAUGAGGAACAAGAAGACUGUAGAGGAACAGAUCACAUGGAAAAUUCACUCUGGGAAUUGCUCCUUCUGGUGGGAUGACUGGACAGGGGAGGGUCCUUUGGCCCAGCAGUGCAGUGAAAUCAACAGUUUAAACAACCCUCCUGUUUCAUUUUUCUUGAUGGAUGGUCAUUGGAAUGAAACUAUGUUAAGGUAAAAUAUUCCUCCCAACAUGGUGCCUAAAGUCAUGGAAACUCAUAUCCAUUAUCAAGCUGGAGUGACAGAUGAAGCUGUUUGGAAGCCAACUGAGAAUGGGAAUUUUACUUGUUCAUCCGCUUGGGGUCUGAUCAGGAAGAAAGGAACCAAAACCAAACUCACUUCUCUUAUCUGGAAGAAGAACAUUCCCUUCAAAGUGUCAUCUUAGUGUUUAAGCCCUAAACAGAAUAGAGCAAUGGACAUGACCCGAAACCACUUUGUGUAGAGUAGACUACUUUAGAUUACUAAAUUGGCAGUAACAUUCGGUGGAAACCAAUAUCAUGUAUAUUCCAAAGGAAUUAAUAUGGUUGUCUCGUUUAAACCAAGUGUAAGUUCCACAUCAAGCUGCAAAUCAACUAGUCCCAUGCCCUCCGUACAAUCUGAAAAUUCCCCCAUAGCUGAAGUUCUCCUAAUCCAGUCCUACAUAUAUUAAAUUCACCACAGAUAGGCCAUGGCCCCUCCAUCAGACUUCUGACGUCAGCUAAUUCCUCUCAUACCAGUCUCCAUUCUAAUUUUCUGUUAGAAGCAUACACACAAGUGAUAUGGCAUUCAAAAUCAUUUAAUUGGGCCUAAAAUCUAAACCCUAUACCUUAGAAACUAAACCUGAAACCUUAACCUUAGGGCCUAAAUCUCAAAUCCUAAACCUUACAACAUCAACCCUAAACCUACAUGCCUAACCCUAAACCCUAAUUUAUAAACCCUAAACCUUAGGGCCUAAACCCUAAACCCUACUCAGACUUCGCCACAUCCAACACCAAUCAAACACUCACAAGCAAUCGAUGAUUUACCUUUAAGAAAGUUGUCAAUCUAUCCAUCAUCGGGCACAUCAAUCCAUAUCUCAAAUAUUUAAACAAAAACAAAGAAGCCACAAACUACAAAUCAAAAACUAAGAUAGACCACCCUAAACCUUAGGGCCUAAACCCUAAACUCUAAAAUUUAGGUCCUAAACCCUAAACCUAGUGCCUAAACCCUAAACUAUAAGCCUAAUGGCCUAAACCCUAAACCUUAGGACCUAGACCCUAAAGCCUAAAAUAUAAACUCUAAACCUUAGACUCUAACCACUAAACCAUAGACCAUAAGCCUUAAACCCUAAACCGUAAAGCAUAAAAUCUAAACCUUAGGUCCUAAAUCUCAAAUCCUAAACCUUACAACAUCAACCCUAAACCCUAAACCUUACAACAUCAACCCUAAACCCUAAACCCUAAUUUCUAAACCCUAAACGUUAGGGCCUAAACCCUAAACGCUACUCAAACUUCGCCACAUCCAACACCAAUCAAACACUCACAAGCAAUCGACGAUUUCCCUUAAGAAAGUCGUCAAUCUAUCCAUCAUAGGGCAUCAUCAAUCCAUAUCUCAAAUAUUUAAACAAAAACAAAGAAGCCACAAACUUCAAAUCAAAAACUAAGAUAGACCACCCUAAACCUUAGGGCCUAAACCCUAAACUCGAAACCCUAUACCCUAAACUCUAAAACUUAGGUCAUAAACCCUAAACCUAGUGCCUAAACCCUAAACUAUAAGCCUAAUGGCCUAAACCCUAAACCUUAAACCUUAGGACCUAGACCCUAAAGCAUAAAAUAUAAACUCUAAACUCUAAACCUUAGACCCUAACCACUAAACCAUAACCAUAAGCCAUAAGCCCUAAACCCUAAAGCAUAAAAUCUAAACCUUAGGUCCUAAAUCCUAAAACCUAAACCAUAAAACACGAAACCCUAACCCAUAAACCAUAAACCAUAAACCAUAAACCAUAAACAAUAAAUUGUAAAACUUAGGGCUUAAGCCCUUUUACCUUAGAGCCUAAACUCUAAACCAUAAACCAUAAAUCCUCAACCCUAAACCUUAUGGCCUAAACCAUAAAUCCUAAACCCUAAACAAUAAACUCUAAACCUUAAAGUUUAGGGUCUAAACUCUAAACCUUAAAGUUUAGGGUCUAAACCCUAAACCGUACACCCUAGGGACUAAACCCUAAAUCCUAAACCCUAAACUCUCAACCCUAAACCUUAUGGUCUAAAAUUAAAACCAUAAAUUCUAAGUCCUAAACCUAAAUCACUAAAUCAUAGUGCCUAAUCCCUAACUUUAGGGCCUCAAAUCUAAACCCUAAACUUGAAACCUAAUUAGGGCCUAAACCCUAAACCUAAUUAGGGUUUUAACCUUAAACCCUAAACUCUAAACCUUAGAGCCUAAAUCUUUAAGCAUAAACCAUAAAUCCUAACUCCUAAACCCUAAAUCCUAAACCUCAGGGUUUAAACCCUAAACUUUUGGGACUAAACCCUAAACCAUAAAUCAUAAACCCACUAAGAGGGCCUAAAUCCUAAAUCCUAAGCCAUAAACCCUAUACUCUAGAGUCUAGACCCUAAAUAUUAGGGCCUAUAUCCUAAACCCUUAACCCUAUAUCAUAAACCCUAAACCCUAUGGCAUAAACCCUAAAUACUAAUUCAUAAACCUUAAACAUUAAACUUUAUGUCUUAAACCCUAAACCCUAAACCUUACGGCCUAAACCCUAAACCCUAAAUCCUAAGACUUAAACUCAUGGUCUGAGUUGCUGCCUGAAAAUGACCCCUUGAAUCAGCUUCUUUAUACAAAGGAUUCACUUUUUCUUGUUGAACUAGAGCAUUAACCUGACCCUGCAUGAGUUCACCUUACCCUCAUCAUCACUGUGAACCAAUUCAGACCCCUCCAUAGACUCAUAAUAUAAGAAUCUUCAGCAUCAGGAUCUAUAUCUUCAAUCAAAAUUGGACUCAGAUUUUGAGUGUCAUUCUGAGUAGUCAUGUUGAUCUUGUUGUUGAUGCUACCCUGUAUCAUAGGAGCUUGAUGAGCUGUGGUAGUAGGAGCUCUAAGUUCAAUCCUAGAGUCAUCCAUAUUAGAACUACCACCCCUUUUUGGUUCCUCUUUCUGAAAGUUAGUGAUUUUCUCCUGCAUACCCCCUUUCACACCUCCAGACUUCUCAGAUCCAGAUAAAAGAACACAAUUAUUAGUGGGGUGGGGUUGAUGGAGAAUUGAGUUAAUACCUUGCUUAUUGUUGGCAUCCUUGCUUUGCUUGUUAUGAAAUACUUUAGGGGCAACACUGGGAAUGGGGACAGCAACACUACCCUGGGGUUGAGGGGUGGGGAGCAUUGAGUCAAUACCUUGCUUAUUGUUGGCAUGAUUUGAUUGUCCUGAUAAACAUUAGGGGCAACACUGGGGUGGGACUGCAACACUACUAUCGGGUUGAGGGGUGGGGAGCAUUGAGUCAAUACCUUUCUGUUGUUCUUGACUGGUUGAUUGUCCUGAUAAACAUUAGGGGCAACACUGGGGUGGGGACUGCAACACUACUAUCGGGUUGAGGGGUGGGGAGCAUUGAGUCAAUACCUUGCUUAUUGUUGGCAUGAUUUGAUUGUCCUGAUAAACAUUAGGGGCAACACUGGGGUGGGGACUGCAACACUACUAUCGGGUUGAGGGGUGGGGAGCAUUGAGUCAAUACCUUGCUUAUUGUUGGCAUGAUUUGAUUGUCCUGAUAAACAUUAGGGGCAACACUGGGGUGGGGACUGCAACACUACUAUCGGGUUGAGGGGUGGGGAGCAUUGAGUCAAUACCUUGCUUAUUGUUGGCAUGAUUUGAUUGUCCUGAUAAACAUUAGGGGCAACACUGGGGUGGGGACUGCAACACUACUAUCGGGUUGAGGGGUGGGGAGCAUUGAGUCAAUACCUUGCUUAUUGUUGGCAUGAUUUGAUUGUCCUGAUAAACAUUAGGGGCAACACUGGGGUGGGGACUGCAACACUACUAUCGGGUUGAGGGGUGGGGAGCAUUGAGUCAAUACCUUUNNNNNNNNNNNNNNNNNNNNNNNNNNNNNNNNNNNNNNNNNNNNNNNNNNNNNNNNNNNNNNNNNNNNNNNNNNNNNNNNNNNNNNNNNNNNNNNNNNNNNNNNNNNNNNNNNNNNNNNNNNNNNNNNNNNNNNNNNNNNNNNNNNNNNNNNNNNNNNNNNNNNNNNNNNNNNNNNNNNNNNNNNNNNNNNNNNNNNNNNNNNNNNNNNNNNNNNNNNNNNNNNNNNNNNNNNNNNNNNNNNNNNNNNNNNNNNNNNNNNNNNNNNNNNNNNNNNNNNNNNNNNNNNNNNNNNNNNNNNNNNNNNNNNNNNNNNNNNNNNNNNNNNNNNNNNNNNNNNNNNNNNNNNNNNNNNNNNNNNNNNNNNNNNNNNNNNNNNNNNNNNNNNNNNNNNNNNNNNNNNNNNNNNNNNNNNNNNNNNNNNNNNNNNNNNNNNNNNNNNNNNNNNNNNNNNNNNNNNNNNNNNNNNNNNNNNNNNNNNNNNNNNNNNNNNNNNNNNNNNNNNNNNNNNNNNNNNNNNNNNNNNNNNNNNNNNNNNNNNNNNNNNNNNNNNNNNNNNNNNNNNNNNNNNNNNNNNNNNNNNNNNNNNNNNNNNNNNNNNNNNNNNNNNNNNNNNNNNNNNNNNNNNNNNNNNNNNNNNNNNNNNNNNNNNNNNNNNNNNNNNNNNNNNNNNNNNNNNNNNNNNNNNNNNNNNNNNNNNNNNNNNNNNNNNNNNNNNNNNNNNNNNNNNNNNNGGAAAACAUUUUCCGGAAAAUGUUUUCCUUCAUACCAAACACACCCUACAUGUAUGAACCUCUUAUGGCCUUGGUGUUUGCAUUAAUCACUAUCUUUACUUGUUGGAAUCUGUGGAAAAAUAGAUAUGCAUGCAAAUAUGGAGGAAACAAAUCUAAUAUAAACUAGAGUGAUAUACUUGGUGCUUAAAGACACCAACAAGGAACUCAUCAACUUUCCUUACAUAAAAUGGUCAUCCAAGUGGCCUGAGUUGAUACAGUUUGGAGGAAAUUUCUUCCAUGAUAUCAAAAUUACAAAGGUAAGUUGGUUUAAGCCACCUACAAAUGUGGUUAAAAUCAAGUCUGAUGGUAGUGCAUUAGACAACCCAGGAAAGAUGGGGGAUUUUGUUUCAAUUUGUUUUUCUUACCUUCCUUUUUAGGCUUUUUAAAACAGAAUGCCUCUUUUCUAAUUUGAAAACUCCUUAAUUUCAUUAUCCCGCAUGGCAUCAUGUUUGUGACCAGAAAAUCAAAGAACAUUUCGGUACAGUAUACAGUUUUAGUUUAAAGACUACAAAAUUCAAAAGUACUCUUUACUUUCUUAAACUUUGUGUCAAGUCAAACAAAGAUAAACAAAUUGAAACUAAGGGAGUAACAACCUUUGAUCAUUUUUAGUAUCAACUAUACAUGCAGGAUUAUGAUAUUCCAUUACCAGCAAGAAGACACAUUCAAACAUGCAGUUGCAUUGACAAAAAACAGUAAAUUCAGUAUAAGCAAUUCAUAAAAUUGCACUACUUGGGAAUAUACUACAGGCAUCUCUCUCUCUCUCAGUCACACACACACACUAUCAGAUAAAGAAAGGAACUUACUUUUGUAAUGUUGUUAGAACUAGAUUUAGACUCCUCAAUGAGCACAAUGUGAAUGAGGAAGAAAGUGUAUAUUUGGAAAGCAUUUCGAUAUGAUGCAACUCGAUCAGCAAGCGAACACUCAUCCUCUUCACUGUCAUUCUUCUCUUCAUCAGCAUUUCCAUCCUUCUGUUGAGACACCCUCCAGAGAGAAUCCACAGUAGGGAGCAGCACACUGAGAUUGGACCUAAGUGAAUCCACAAGAUUGAGCUUACAGCCAGGAGUAAGGCAAGGAAACUCCUUCAUUAACGAAUACACAGGAUCGAACACAUCCUGCUCCUCCACGCAGAAUAGCUCUUUGUCAGAUAAGUCAAAGGAUACACAUGUUUAAUUGCAAACAAAAAACAGCAAAUUUAGAGAAAUGAGUUGGAAAAAUCAAAAAAGAAUGACAACCCAGAUGGAAAAUUCGAAAAGAAAACAAAAAAAAAGAGAAACCAGAUGGGAAAAUGGCAAGGAAUGUGAAUCAAGUACCUUCCCGAUGUAAUUGAAAAUGCAAGGAAACGUUUAAAUUCUAAGAGGCUGGUCUAGGACCUUCGCCAGAACCUGGUUAUUCUUCUAGUGGAAUUGGAAGAAUCAAGAUUUUGAUCACUUUUGCUGCUGUUCUUAGCUCUGGAUGUAGUGGAAUUUGAAGUAUCAAGAUUUUGAUCACUUUUACUGCUGUUGUUAGCUCAGGAUCUAGUGGAACCUGCAAAUGUACAAUUGUUAGUGUUUGUAUAGGAUAUAGGAUGUAGGAUGUUGUAAGGAACCUCUGGUGCGAUUUAUAUAGGAUUGAAGUUCAUUGUCAUCAAUUACUGAAUCAGUCACCUCACUGGAAGCAUGAGAAUUUGCUUCCGACUCAGCACAUGGUGGUUCCAAAGGUGAACAUUCUGUUUGCACUUCCAUUAUUGAAUCAGUGACUUCAGAAUCUGUUACAUGACAAAGAAAAUGAAGUUACAGAAAAUUCAAGAUAACCAAAUCAGGAACUAAGCCCACUCCUUUCCAUUAUAGAUCAUAUGAAACAGAGCAGAUGCAACAAUACUGUUUCAUGUUGGCUUCACUCAUUUUGUCUAUAUAGUUUGCACAUUGACUUUAAAAGUUUUAUCAAUCAGUUUCACCACUAGCCUCUUUAUAUAUCUCCAGCUCUCUCAGCAAAAUAACUUUAGAGCUGUUUUUAUAUCUACUCAUAAAUGUACAAUUCUGAAAAAACCCAUCAUUUAAAUUUUAUAUGGAUUUUUGAAAGAAAAAGUUGUAGUGAAGGAUCAACUAUUUAUACAAGUUACUACCACGUAAUAACUUGUUAAUAGCUACUACCUCCUCUACAUUGUUUUUAAAUUAUUUGGAUGAAUAAAAGCACAAAUGACUUGUAUAAAUUAAAGAGACAAACAUGAAGCUCUAGGUUCCCUCCACCAAAAAUAUUUUGAAAAUGAGAACUUUGUAAACGAAACAUGAAAUAGCAAUAACUACAUAAAUAGGCAAUAGAUUUGGAGAAAACUACCUUUAGUAAUUUCAGAUUCACCGAUUUCCUCUUCUUCUUUUUCAGUCACUGCGAUACUCUCUCCAAGCUCUCCACUUUCUGUUGAUGGCUUUGAGCAUUUUUGGCAGUAAGUUCUUGUUCCUUCCUCUCAAUGUCAAAUUUAUUCAACCUUUCUUCAAACUCCUCAAUGCAUGAUUCGAGUUCAGGUUUAGCAAACUUCUUCCCCUANNNNNNNNNNNNNNNNNNNNNNNNNNNNNNNNNNNNNNNNNNNNNNNNNNNNNNNNNNNNNNNNNNNNNNNNNNNNNNNNNNNNNNNNNNNNNNNNNNNNNNNNNNNNNNNNNNNNNNNNNNNNNNNNNNNNNNNNNNNNNNNNNNNNNNNNNNNNNNNNNNNNNNNNNNNNNNNNNNNNNNNNNNNNNNNNNNNNNNNNNNNNNNNNNNNNNNNNNNNNNNNNNNNNNNNNNNNNNNNNNNNNNNNNNNNNNNNNNNNNNNNNNNNNNNNNNNNNNNNNNNNNNNNNNNNNNNNNNNNNNNNNNNNNNNNNNNNNNNNNNNNNNNNNNNNNNNNNNNNNNNNNNNNNNNNNNNNNNNNNNNNNNNNNNNNNNNNNNNNNNNNNNNNNNNNNNNNNNNNNNNNNNNNNNNNNNNNNNNNNNNNNNNNNNNNNNNNNNNNNNNNNNNNNNNNNNNNNNNNNNNNNNNNNNNNNNNNNNNNNNNNNNNNNNNNNNNNNNNNNNNNNNNNNNNNNNNNNNNNNNNNNNNNNNNNNNNNNNNNNNNNNNNNNNNNNNNNNNNNNNNNNNNNNNNNNNNNNNNNNNNNNNNNNNNNNNNNNNNNNNNNNNNNNNNNNNNNNNNNNNNNNNNNNNNNNNNNNNNNNNNNNNNNNNNNNNNNNNNNNNNNUUAGAAAUCUCAAAGGACUUUGUUAAGCUUGUAAUGUAGGCUUAGGGAAGGUUAGGAUAUCAUUUAGGUAUAAGUGACUACACCCUCCUUGAACACUACACAACAACUCAUCGUUUCCAACUUUCUCCACUUCUCUUCACAAUGCACAUUCCACACUACUUUUCAGUUUUCUUUUCUUAUUUCUACUCUAGAUUCCCCACAUGCAACCAUUUUCAACUUUUCGAGAAUUCAAGCCUCAUUUAUUCAUUUUCUUUCUUCUUUCCUCUUUAUUUUUUUCUUUCUUUUUCAAAGUUUUUUCUUUCUUUUAAGACUUCCCAUCCANNNNNNNNNNNNNNNNNNNNNNNNNNNNNNNNNNNNNNNNNNNNNNNNNNNNNNNNNNNNNNNNNNNNNNNNNNNNNNNNNNNNNNNNNNNNNNNNNNNNNNNNNNNNNNNNNNNNNNNNNNNNNNNNNNNNNNNNNNNNNNNNNNNNNNNNNNNNNNNNNNNNNNNNNNNNNNNNNNNNNNNNNNNNNNNNNNNNNNNNNNNNNNNNNNNNNNNNNNNNNNNNNNNNNNNNNNNNNNNNNNNNNNNNUUAGGCUCAAAGGGGACAACUAAGGAUAUAUUUAGUACAAAGGUGGGAUUUUUAGGCCAAGUGGACUUCAAGAACAUAAAAAAAGCCUAAGAUCAUUUUUCCAACAAAACUCAAUCAAGACCAACCGGGCAAGUUCUAGGUGACAAAAGCAAACACAAGGCAUUAUUCAACAACUCACCACACAUGGCCUGCAAAUCAAUCAAGAUGGUUCAAAAUCUUACUUCCUUUUAAAAAUACAAGUAGUAUUGAACAUUUUAACCGCUAACGAAUCAAAAGUCACAAAAAGAGUGGUAAGAGUUGUCACAAAAUCAUUCGUAACAUGAUCAACCUUUUAAAAAUGGAGAGGUAUGCUCAACGCUAUUCACAUGCAUGACUAUGCUCUUAGUACCAACCAAGUCAAAACCUUCCCAAAAAGACGAUGAUUUUGCCCUUAAAAAAGCCAUCAACAAAUCCAUCAUCAUGCAACAUCAUGCAUCUAUUCGGGAACAGCUACUCAGAAUUUGCCACAAUCAACGCCAAUCAAACACUCACAAGCAAUCGAUAAUUUACCAUUAAGAAAGUCAUCACUCUCUAUCCAUCAUCGGGCAUCGUCAAUCCAAAUCUUAUUAUCAAAAGAAAAACAAAGAAGCUACAAACUACAAAUCAAAAACUAAAAUAGACCAAUUUAACACAAUAUCCACAGAAACAUCCACAAUAUCAAAUCCCGACAAGGGCACACCAAUCCAUAACAAAGAAAGAAAAGUAUGCCCGACAAGGGCACAAUCAUUGUAUGCAAAAACAAUCAACAAAAUGACUACAAGGGAGGCACCCCCAACUGAAAAUGAGAUGGUGUCCACACAAUCAAAAUAUCAAAAGAGAAUACGAGGAACUCCCUGAAUUGCAUCACUCUCAGCUCGAGCCGGUAGGAAAUGUGAGGUCCUCCUCAUCCGAAGCACUGCUACCACAUAAGCUCCUCAGCUUUCCCUUUAGAAAUGCUACAGAGGAGCAAACCAUCAGAAAACGGGAGGAAAAGAAGUUGCACUCGGAUCCAGCACAAAACAAAUAGCACAUCAAGUCUCACAAAGGCAGCAAGAAAAUGCAAGCAAGAUAGGUAACACAUUGCUACAAAUACAUCAUCAACAACACCAUGGCAGUGGCAAAUCAAGUCCUCGAUAUAGUGGGGAAGGAAGAGAGAAACCACAACAGAUGCAAGGUCCUCAAGAUAAUGAAAUCAAUAGCAAGAGUAGUCCUCAAUAUCAAAUACUGAAUAAUGAAGCAACAGUUACAAUAUUUGAGAAAAACAAACCUGUAGCAGAUGCGGAGCAAGUCGAGAAAGAGGCCCUAGCAUUGGCAGAGUUCCAUGAACCACUUCAAAGUGGAUUUUACUAGUGUUGAGGUAGUAGGUGAUGAUUCUGAUAUGAUUGCAAGGUACCCACUGUGUCCCAGAAACAAUUGUUGAUUAAGACUAAUGAUCAACACAAGGAGAUUGUACCUGCAACAAAAGCACAAUUAGAAUUGGCCCAAAAGCAAGCUUCUCCCGUGCAAGUACUACAUGAAUUUGUUUCUCAUCACCUAACGGGUAUCACAGGAGUUGCAGUACAGAUAAAUAAUCAGGAUAAAGAUGGUAAAAGAGAAGAUAAAGAGGAAAGAGAGGGACAUCAAAAUAUCAAUCAGUUGGUGAAGGAUCCUGAUUUAUCUCCACACGCAUUCUUAAAAGCUAAAAAGUGCAAGGCCAGAGUUAAUAGUAAACCUACAAGGACACUUCCUAGGAGGAGUGGAAAAUCAAGUAUUAAUGAAUUUAAAAGCUUUAUUUUGAAACAUUAGAUCUGUAAAAUCCUAACAUUCUUUUCACAGAGUGCAAAUGCUACACCGACAUAAUGAUAUUUCCAUUAUUGCAUUGAUGGAACCUUUUCAAUAUAUUAGGCAUAUACAAAGUUACAAGAGGAUAUUGGGCAGGCAUUAUGCAAACUAUAAUCAAAAUGGAAAAAAUUGGGUUUUUGUACAAGAGCAAUUCAUGUAGAAGUACUGGCAGAUUCAGACCAACAACUCACUAUUCAGCUUUCUUUCCAAGGUAAUUACCACUACGGUAUAUGCUAAGUGUGAAGCUACUGAGAGAUUACAGUUGUGGGAUGAUAUUUACCUCUUGAGUCAGAACAUGAGACUUCCCUGGCUUGUUUGUGGGGGUUUCAAUGUUAUUAUGAAUGAUGAGGAGAAGAUUGGAAGACUUCCUGUAUAUCCAACUGAAUAUAACGACUUUGCUUUUAGCAUUAAUUCCUGUGAUCUUUUUUAUAUUAAUUUCAAAGGUAGCCCUUUUACAUGGUGGAAUGGGAGAAUAGAUGAUGCUUAUAUUUUCAAAAGGCUGGACAAGAUUGUUCUUAAUCAAGCUUUUCUGGGCCUUUUGGGAAGUGUAGAAUUGGAUCAUCAGGCUAGAGUUGGAUCUGAUCACGCCCCUUUGCUAAUAUCUCAUAAUUCGGUUUUAUAACUCUAUUUUUAGAUAUUUUAAUUAUAUUUAGGUGAAUCCCCACACCCAUAUCCAUACAUGGAUCCAUAUCCCCGAAUCUUAAAAAUUAGAUCAUGAAGGAUUCGACCUCUAGAUCCGAACCCAUAUCAGACACCCGCAUCCGAGUCCGAGCAACUUAGUGUGAAUUAGUUAAGGUCACAACGAAGGCGGAAUGACAAUUUGCUAAAUCCUCUUUUUCCGGAGGAGGUAUGUAAUCACAUUAUUUAUAAAGUUGGAUGUGGAGAGGAUACAGAUGAGUGGGACAAGCUAUGGUGGAUGGCACACAGCUCAGGAAAAUUCAAUGUUAAUAGUGCUUGGAAUAUUUUGAGAAAUACAAGUAACAAGAAGAAUUCAAGUUCAUUUGGGAAAAAGGAAUUCCUUUUAAAGUCUCUUUUUUCAUAUGGAGGUUAUGGAAAAAGAAGCUCCCAAUUGGGGAAUUUCUAAUACGAAUAGCCCUGGUAGAUGAUGUACGGUGGUGUUGUUGUAAAACAAUUAGCCAAAGAAUCCUACGAGCAUUUUUUUAUUACUUGUCCAGUAGCUACCACUUUGUGGAAAACUUUUGCAGCAGCACCAGGUUUGCGAGGCCCUUUCCCACAUCUGAAAGACACCAUGUUUAAAUGGUGGAAUGCUACAUGUUCUGUCAAACUCAGACCACUUUUUAAAGCUGUCCCUACUUUUAUAAUGUGGCAAAUUUUGAAGAUGAUGAAUAUGAUAAGGCAUGGUGGUAAGAUGUCUGUGCAAGGUAUGAUGAUGGAGAUUAAUAGGAACCUUCACUACUUGGCAAUUACAAGGUAUCCUUGGUUGAGGAACAUCCCUGAUAGUUGGCCUCUGAUCCUGAAAUUCUUUGAAGCCUAUCCAUUAAUUGAAUGUAAAGUGGUGAAGUGGAAACUACCUUACGAAGGUGUCUAUAAGUACAAUUCAGAUGGAGCUUCAAAAGGAAAUCCGGGACCUAGUGCAAGUGCUUUCUGCAUUAGAAAUAAUGCAGGAGAGUUUAUAGUUGCUGAAGCUAAAAGCUAGGAAAGUGCUACAAGUUUAGAGGCAGAAGUAGUGGCGUUGAGAAGUGGACUGGAAUUUUUAUAUUUUAAACAAUUUGCUGCCUGUUAUCCUUGAAACUGAUUCUUCACAAUCAAACAGAUACUAGAUGGAAUAUGGGAAGUCCCACGUAUCAUGGCUUGUGAAAUCAAGAUGAUAAGCAGAUUAAUGGCUCAUAGAGAUGUGGAAAUCGAGCAUACACUAAGGGAGGGCAUCAUGCUAGCGGAUUUUUUGCUAAUCAAGUUUCUGUUUUGAGGUAGUCAAAGAUUAACAUAUAAUUCAAUACAAGAAGUCCAAAAUGAAGGAAAAGCUCUAAUAAACAUGGAUCGGAAUGAAAUUCCCAAUAUACGGCUAACAGGAUGUCAAAAUGAGAACUUCAGAAUGCUAUAAUAACGAUAUUAUGCUAGAAACUGUAAGGCCCCCCAACAAUCACAGAGAUUUUCACUGGAAGAGAAACAGACUUACUAGAUCGUGUGUGAAAGUUGCAAUUGGAUCUGAAUUUUUCUCUCCUCUUUGGCAGUGGUAUUACUUCUCUGUGGCAUAAACCUGCCUAGAGAGGGACUAAGAAAUGAUUUCAAUUUACAGCGUCACGAAAUUCAGUUUUGUACAAUUAAAGAUUCAACCCAGAACACAAUUUAAGAUUCAAGAUUUAACACAGAAGCACAAUUCAAGAUCAGACCCAGGUACACAUUGAAUCUGAAGUCAUAAACAAUCAUUAAUUAUCAUAAGAAUGGCUACCCCAAUCCAAGAUUCCAGAGGAGUUGAAUUAAAAUUGGAAAAAAAACAUCUGGGUUAGGAAAUGACACCCAAAAGAACAAGAAAAUCGAGAUUAUGGAUUAGAGGAAAAGGGGAAAUGGGUGAAGGUAAAAGCAUCAGCUUAUCAUAAGAAUGACAUAAAACAAAGAGCAAGACAAAACUUUAUAUGUAUAACCCCUCAAUUCAAGAAGGAAAAGGGAAAUUGUGAAACCUGAAGUUGCUCAACAGGGAAAGGGCCCUCUUGAACAUCCUCGAUUUCAUCAUUUUGGUCUUGCAUACCUUCUGAUUCUUGUGCUGCUACUCCAUUGCUAAUCUUCUUGAUGCUACUGAGAGUAACAGAUGAUUGAAAGAGACGGAAGAAUGGAGGCAAACAGAAAUAUUCAAAAGCGCGAUGAGCCUCUUUAUAUAUCUCCAACUCUCUCGCCAAAAUGACUUUAGAGCUUUUUUAUCAGUAUCUACUCUUAAAUGUAAAAUUCUAAAAAAAAACCAUCAUUUAAAUUUUAUAUGGAUUUAUGAAAAAAAAGUUGUAGUGAAGGACCAACUAUUUAUCAAAGUUACUACCACGUUAUGUUUUGUUUACAGCUACUACCUCCUCUACAUUGUUUUUAAAUUAAUUGGAUGAAUAAAAGCACAAAUGACCCGUAUAAAUUAAAGAGAUAAGCAUUAAGCUCUAGUUCCCUCCGCCUUAAAUUUUUUCAAAAUGAGAACCUUGUAAAUGAAACAUGAAAUAGUAAUAACUGAAUGAACAGACAAUAGAUUUGGAGAAAACUACCUGCAGUAAUUUCAGAUUCACCAAUUUCCUUUUCUUCUUUUACAGUCACUGUGAUGCUCUCCAAGCUCUCCACUUUCUGUUGAUGGCUUUGAGCAGUUUUGGCAGUAAGUUCUUGUUCCUUCCUCUCAAUGUCGAAUUUAUUCAACCUUUCUUCAAACUCCUCAAUGCAUGAUUCGAGUUCAGGUUUAGCAAAUUUCUUCCCCUAUAUGAAGACAUUCAAAUAGGCAGAUAAAGUUCACUGGGUUUCUUCAAGCGCGUUCGCGAAGGGUACUUUCCCUGCCAGAAAUUGCAUUUUCAGCUCUUGACCUCUUUUUGCUUCAAGUUCACUUGGUUUCUUCAAAUAUCUCUUAAAUCAGCUCUCCAUUUCAUUUUCCUACAAAUAUGAAAAAAACCCACAUUAAAAGCACCAAUUCUAAACUAAAGCAAGCCAAAAUAACUACGAAAAGAGCCUCAAAUGAGUGGGAAUCCACCACUCAUCAACACCCCCGACUUAGAAACUUUGUUUGUCCUCAAGUAAAGAAAAUCAAAANNNNNNNNNNNNNNNNNNNNNNNNNNNNNNNNNNNNNNNNNNNNNNNNNNNNNNNNNNNNNNNNNNNNNNNNNNNNNNNNNNNNNNNNNNNNNNNNNNNNNNNNNNNNNNNNNNNNNNNNNNNNNNNNNNNNNNNNNNNNNNNNNNNNNNNNNNNNNNNNNNNNNNNNNNNNNNNNNNNNNNNNNNNNNNNNNNNNNNNNNNNNNNNNNNNNNNNNNNNNNNNNNNNNNNNNNNNNNNNNNNNNNNNNNNNNNNNNNNNNNNNNNNNNNNNNNNNNNNNNNNNNNNNNNNNNNNNNNNNNNNNNNNNNNNNNNNNNNNNNNNNNNNNNNNNNNNNNNNNNNNNNNNNNNNNNNNNNNNNNNNNNNNNNNNNNNNNNNNNNNNNNNNNNNNNNNNNNNNNNUUUUCAUUUUUCUUUUCUUAUUUCCACACUAGAUGCCCACAUGCAACCAUUUUCAACUUUUGGAGAAUUCAAGCCUCAUUAAUUCUUUUUAUUUCUUUCCUUUUCAAAGUUUUUUCUUUCUUUAAGAAUUUCCAUCCAUCCUUCAAUUUCUCUCUUCUUCUUUUUUCUUUUUCUUCUUUUUAUAUCAAGUCCUCAUGUGGUAAGCAUCCCUUCAAUGAAUUUCCCAUAACACCCCAACUUAGGCUUUUAGCCUCAACUUUCAGAACCUCAAGUUCAAGGAGGGAAGGGUUCAAAAGAGGGUUCCUUCUUCAAAAAGGAUAAGGCUUGUAAUGUGGUUGCCAAUAAAAAGGAUUAGGCUCAAAGGGGACAACUAAGGAUAUAUUUAGUACAAAGGUGGGAUUUUUAGGCCAAGUGGACUUCAAGAACAUCAAAGAAAGCCUAAGAUCAUUUCUCCAACCAAACUCAAUCAAGACCAACAUUUCAAGACCAACCGGGCAAGUUCUAGGUGACAAAAGCAAACACAAGGCAUUAUUCAACAACUCACCACACAUGGCCUGCAAAUCAAUCAAGAUGGUUCAAAAUCUUCCUUUUCAAACUACAAGUAGCAUUGAACAUUUUAACCGCUAACGAAUCAAAAGUCACAAAAAGAGUUGUAAGAGUUGUCACAAAAUCAUUCAUGACAUGCUCAACCUUUUAAAAAUGGAGAGGUAUGCUCAACAUUAUUCCCAUGCAUGACUAUGCUUUUAGUACCAACCAAGUCAAAACCUUCCCAAAAAGACGAUGAUUUUGCCCUUAAGAAAGCCGUCAACCAAUCCAUCAUUAGGCAACCUCAUGCAUCUAUUCAGGAACAGCUACUCAGACUUCGCCACAAUCAACGCCAAUCAAACACUCACAAGCAAUCGACGAUUUACCCUUAAGAAAGUCAUCACUCUCUAUCCAUCAUCGGGCAUCGUCAAUCCAAAUCUUCUUAUCAAAACAAAAAUCAAGAAGCUACAAACUACAAAUCAAAAACUAAAAUAGACCAAUCCAACACAAUAUCAACAGAAACAUCCACAAUAUCAAAUCCCGUCAAGGGCACACCAAUCCAUAACAAAGAAAGAAAAGUAUGCCCGAUAAGGGCAUAAUCACUGUAUGCAGAAACAAUCAACAAAAUGACUACAAGGGAGGCACCCCCAACUGAAAAUGAGAUUGUGUUCUCACAGUCAAAAUAUCAAAAGAGAAUACGAGGGACUCCCUGAACUGCAUCACUAUGAGCUCGAGCCGGUAGGAAAUGUGAGUUCCUUCUCAUCCGAAGCACUGCUGCCACAUAAGCUCCUCUUUAGCUUUAUAGAUGCUACAAAGGGGAAAACCAUCAGAAAACGGGAUGAAAAGAAGUCGCACUCUGAUUAAAGAUCCAGCACAAAACAAAUAGCACAUCAGGUGUGUAAUCACAUUAUUGAGAAAGUUGGAUGUGGAGAGGAUACAAAUGAGUGGGACAAGCUAUGGGAUGGCACACAACUCAGGAAAAUUCAAUGUUAAUAGUGGUUGGGAGAUUUUGAGAAAUGCAAGUAACAGGGAGAAUUCAAGUUCAUUUGGGAAAAAGGAAUUCCUUUUAAAGUCUCUUUUUUCAUAUGGAGGUUAUGGAAAGAGUAGCUCCCAAUUGGUAAAUUUCUAAUACGAAUAGCCCUGGUAGAUGAUGUAAGGUGUUGUGAAACAUUAGCCAAAGAAUCCUACGAGCAUCUUUUUAUUACUUGUUAAGUAGCUACCAGUUGUGGAAAACUUUUGCAGCAGCAGCAGGUUUGCGAGGCCCUUUCCCACAUCUGAAAAGACACCAUGUUUAAAAUGGUGGAAUGCUACAUGUUCUGUCAAACUCAGACUACUUUUUAAUGCUGUCCCUACUUUUAUAAUGUGGCAAAUUUGGAAGAGGAGGAAUAUGAUAAGGCAUGGUGGUAAGAUGUCUGUGCAAGGUAUGAUGAUGGAGAUAAAUAGGAACCUUCACUACUUGGCAAUUACAAGGUAUCCUUGGUUGAGGAACAUCUCUAAUAGUUUGCCUCUGAUAGUGAAAUUCUUUGAAGCCUAUACCCCAUUAAUUGAAUGUAGAGUGGUGAAGUGGAAACUACCUAACGAAGGUGUCUAUAAGUGCAAUUCAGAUGGAACUUCAAAGGAAAUCCGGGACCUAGUGCAAGUGCUUUCUGCAUUAGAAAUAAUGCAGGAGAGUUUAUAGUUGCUGAAGCUAAAAGCUAGGAAAGUGCUACAAGUUUAGAGGCAGAAGUAGUGGCGUUGAGAAGUGGACUGGAAUUUUUGUAUUUUAAACAAUUUGCUGCCUGUUAUCCUUGAAACUGAUUCCUUCGCAGUCAAACAGACACUAGAUGGAAUAUGGGGAAGUCCCAUGUAACAUAUAGAGAUGUGGAAAUCGAGCAUACACUAAGGGUAACAUGCUGGUGGAUUUUUUUUGCUUAUCAAGUUUUCUGUUUUGUAGGACUCAAAGAUUAACUUAUAAUUCAAUACAAGAAGUCCAAAAUGAAGGAAAAGAUAUAAUAAACAUGGAUCGGAAUUAAAUUCCCAAUAUACGGCUAACAAGAUGUCUAAAUGAGAACUUCAGAAUGCUACAAUAACGAUAUUAUGCAAGAACUGUAAGAGCUCGCAACAAUCACAAAGAUUUUCACUGGAAGAGAAACAGACUUACUAGAUCGUGUGUGAAAGUUGCAAUUGGAUCUGAAUUUUUCUCUCCUCUUUGGCAGUGGUAUUAGUUCUCUGUGAGCUCAACCUGCCUAGAAAGGGAAUUAAUCUGAAAUGAUUUCAAUUUACAGCGUCACGAAAUUCAGUUUUGUACAAUUAAAUAUUCAACCAAGAACACAAUUUAAGAUUCAAGAUUUAACACUGAUGGUUUUUACACUGUGAAGUUUGAGUAAAAUGUAAGUUUCUACUUGUCGAUGUGUUCUGUUGUGGCCUGUGGGUCUUGACAACCUCUUCUUGUCAUGUUAGGAAGAUCAAGAAACUGCAAACAGGAUGUACCGCAUAGCAAGGGCAUCUGAAUUUUUGGUGAUCGCUGGGAUUGGUAUUAAUGAACUGAAGAUCACAAAAAAGGCACUAGUAUGGCCAUUGCAGAAAUGUCGGGUCAUUGAUGUUACUCCUGUGAACUAUACUUUUGAAGUCAAUGCUAUGAGUGCUGAGAAGCUGCCCUUCCUUCUCCCUGCUGUUUUCACUAUAGGUCCAUGUGUGGAUGACCAUGAGAGACUUAUCAAAUAUGCUAAACUUCUAUCCCACCAUGCACGUGAUUCACACGAUGCGAAGGACCUUGUUCAAGGUGUCAUUGAGGAAGAUACUCGUGUCUUGGCUGCUUCCAUGACCAUGGAGGAAAUCUUUAAAGGCACAAAAGAUUUCAAGAAGGAGGUAUUUGACAAGGUUCAGCUUGAGCUCAACCAAUUUGGCUUGCUGAUUUACAAUGCUAACAUUAAGCAACUGGUCGAUGUUUGAGGGCACGAAUACUUUUCUUACUUGGGGCAGAAAACUCAAAUGGAAGCUGCAAACCAAGCAAAAAUUGAUGUUUCUGAGGCCAAAAUGAAGGGUGAGAUUGGAGCUAAGGAGCGAGAAGGUCUCACACGUCAAAAUGCUGCCAAAAUUGACGCUGAGACAAAGAUCAUAUCCACCCAAAGGGAUGGUGAUGGAAAGAAAGAGGAGGUUAAAGUGAAGACUGAUGUUAAGAUAUAUGAAAAUCAGAGAGAAGCUGAGGUGGCUGAGGCGAAUUCUGUUCUGGCAACCAAGAAGGCUGGGUGGUCUCAGCAAGCAAAAAUGGCUGAGAUCGAAGCCCAGAAAGCUGUAGCAAUACGGGAGGCUGUAUUACAACAAGAAGUUGAGAGAAAGAAUGCAUUGACUAAGACAGAGAGCCUGAAAGCACAACAUCUCAGUAAGGCUACUGUUGACUAUGAGAUUAAGGCAAGUCCAUCAUGUCACAACACUUCUCUUUUAGUACCUUGGGGCAGAUUUUUUUUGCUAAUCAAGUUUUCUGUUUUGUAGGUACUCAAAGAUUAACAUAUAAUUCAAUACAAGAAGUCCAAAAUGAAGGAAAAGUUAUAAUAAACAUGGAUCGGAAUUAAAUUCCCAAGAUACGGCUAACAAGAUGUCAAAAUGAGAACUUCAGAAUGCUACAAUAACGAUAUCAUGCCAGAAACUGUAAGGGCUCGCAACAAUCACAAAGAUUUUCACGGGAAGAGAAACAGACUUACUAUAUCGUGUGUGAAAGUUGCAAUUGGAUCUGAAUUUUUCUCUCCUCUUUUCUCUGUGAGCUCAACCUGCCAAGAAAGGGAAUUACUCUGAAAUGAUUUCAAUUUACAGCAUCACGAAAUUCAGUUUUGUACAAUUAAAGAUUCAACCAAGAACACAAUUUAAGAUUCAAGAUCAGACCCAGCUACACAUUGAAUCUGAAGUCAUAAGCAAUCAUUAACUAUCAUAAGAAUGGCGAUUGCAGACGAGUUGAAUUAAGGUUGGAAAAAAGAACAUCUGGCUUAGGAAACGACACCCAAAAGAACAAGAAAAUUGAGAUUUUGUAUUAGAGAAAAAGGGAAAAUGGGUGAAGGUACAAAGCAUCUGCUUAUUGUAAGAAUGAAAUAAAACAAAGAGCAAAGCAAAACUUUAAAUGUAUAACCCCUCAAUUCAAGAACGAAAAGGGAAAAUUGUGAAACCUGAAUUGUUAAUCUCCAUUACUAAUCUUCUUGAAAAGGAAAACGACACCCAAAACCUCCAUUGCUAAUCUUCUUGAUGCUACUGAGAGUAACAGAUGAUCCAAAGAGAUGGAAGCACGGAGGCAAAAGGAAAUAUUUCAAAAGCAUGCGUGAUGAGCCGUUACACUUCUGCUCAUCUUCGCUUCUUGCUUGUGAGUUUGAAAAAAUAAAUAAACACAAUGGAACUAAUAAAUAAAUAAUAUACUCAAUAUUUGUUUAUUUUUCGACAUUUAUUUUAACACAUGCACCAAAAUAAAUAAAUAGUAAUAAUAUAGUUAUGAUUAGGGUUGGGCGUUCGGUCGGAUUAGUUCAUGAUAUUCGGUUCGAUUUUUUUAUUUUCGAUUUGGUGAAAAUGUAAAUCAAAACCAAAUUGAAAUAAGUUCGAUUUGGCUCGAUUUUCACAAUUUUGGUUCGGUUUGUUUUUUUUUAGUUUAUGAGAUUACAUUAGAUAUGUUGUUAUGAACAAAUUCACCUCCUUGUAAAAUUUCAAAUAAGGUGUGAUUUGAUCUCUGAUAGAACGUACACAAUAAUUAGAUGAUUUUUAAAAUUUUAGGACCUCAUUACUUGUUAUACAUCUUCAGAUUUAGAUGUUAUACGCUCAUGUUCAGUUAAAACAUUUCCAAAUAAGCAUACAAGGUCUCUGUCUCUGAAUGUGAGAGACGAGGGUGGUCGACAAGUGGUUUGUGUGAGUCAUGACGACAGCGACAGCGAUGGCGACGACCUAUGGUGUGCAUAAGUCACAUGAUAACAACGAUGGAUAACAGAGAUGAGCGGAUUGUGGAGAGGUUAAUGGUUAGGACUUAGGAAUUUCAAUUUUAAUUUUGGAUUAAUUUUAAAUUGGGUUAAUUUUAAUGGGUUGUGGGCAGUAGCCAUUUGGGGGAGUCCAGGGCUCAAGGCAUGAGUUCAUGUGAGUAAAUUACAUUUUGAUUUUUUGGUUUAACCGAAUUAAAUUAUUCAAAACUCGAAAAUCGAACCGAAAAAAGUAAAAUUUCAAUAUCUUAAAUUGAAACCAACCGAUUAAAUUGAAAUCGAAAUUUAAAAAAAUUCAGUUCGAUCGAUUUUUUCGAUUUGAACCGAAAUAUGUCAAGCCCUAGUGAUGAUGUACAAUAACUUAUUGUACAUAUAUUAAUGAUGAAAACUUGAAUAGAUACGAAAUUAUACUAGAUGUCCCUCAAAGUGUGUCAUCUUGGUUUUUUGUCUCUCGUAGAAAAAAUCUUCAAGACUAGUAAUUUUUCUUCAGUAUCUCUUUUGAACUUGGCAGCAAAACUUACUUUAGCAUUUUAACUAAACAGACGUUUAAAUACCUCUUAACAACUUUCAAGUUAAUUAAAUUACACCCUAAUGGGUGACGUGACAAAGUGAGUUGACUCACUCUCCCAAAUGCGCGUGAAGAUAUUAAAAAAAAUUAUAAAAUCAUACACAUGUCAUUUUCUAUAGGUCAAUAUAUAAUUAGUAUUUUAAAUAUUAUUUUAUUGAUACAUUAACUUUUUUAAAAAUAUGUGAAUUUUUUUGGUGGCCCAAAAAAAUUAAUUUUCUUUUUCUUUAUUUUGUUGUCUUCCCCAAUAUAACUUCUUCUCCAUUGAAGCAUCACCACUUCCUUCAUCUUCAACUUUGUUCACUACUUCCAUUUCACCAAUCCUUUAGUAAUCCAUAAAAUUCAACACCAAUAUCUUUUAUUGACGUCAAUUUCACAAAUAUAACAAUUUACAUAAAUUUUGAGUGAUCUGUUUUUAUUUUUUUUAAUUUCCACAAGACAAAUUUGAGGUGGGGGGAGAGGGGAGGGAUUCGAAGAAGAAAAUAUGGUAUUGUAGUAAUACUUCUCUAAAGUUAUUUAAAUUUUUUUUUGAAUUUUUUGAAUGAUCCGUUUUAAUUUUUUUAAUAGAUUCAAAGAGGGGAAAGGGAGGGGAGGGGAGAGGAGGAAUUCGAAGAAGAUAAUGUUGUAUUGUAAUGGUUCUUCUCUAAAGCUAUUUUUUAAAAAUAAAUUGUGAAGAGGCAGAAAAAAGAGCAGUGAAGGGAUAGAAAUGAUGAAGAAGAAAGAAGUGAGGGGAGGGGAAAUAAAAAUGGGUCUUUGAUUUUAGAAAAUGUAUUUUUAAUUAAUUAAUUAAUUAGUGUAACUUAAUUUUAAAAAGUGUUAAAGAAAAAAAUGGUUAAUAAACAAAAAGAAAUAAAUAAAAGUAAUGACGUGGUGGUGACAUGGCUAUGUUGUGGCGCUUACAUGGCUAUGAUAUGGCAGGUGAGAGUGGUAUUAUAUUCAUUUCAAAAUUGUUAAGGGGUAUCUAAAUGCAUGUGUAGUUAAAGUUUUAAGGUAAAUUUUGUUGCCAAGUUCACAGGUGAUUUGAUGUGUUUUUUUUUUCUUUUCUUUAUGUAUAGAACAAAUAUAAUGUUGUCCCUCUAUACCUCAAAUGUUUUUAAACAACCUCCAUGUUCAAUUGUCUUUCACUAUUUUUUCUUCUUUUUUUUCAUUCUUGAGUUUUAUUAUUUUUCUUUUAUUUAUAAUUUUUUUCUUUUUUUUUCUUAACUCUUAUUAUUUUUGCUAAUGAAUUGAAAGUUGAGUAGAAGAUCUUCUUUCUUUAAUGUAACGAUUCUUCUAGUCAUUUUGUAAAUUUUACUUGUUUUCUAUAGCUUAGCCCUGCUUACAACCUUUUUCAUGGAUAAUUUAUAACUUGCGGGAAUAAGUGACGUGAUUUUUGAAAUAUUUUUUUGUUUUUAAUAAAUAGAAGGGAAAAAGAGAAAGAGUUUUGUAUGUCGUUCUAUUUUUAUACCUGCCUGUCUGCCUAUCUAUCUAUCUAUCUAUCUAUCUAUCUAUCUAGCUAGCUAGCUAGCUAGCUAGCUAGAUGUCUGUCUGUGUAUCUAUCAUCUCUAUCUAUCUAUUUAUCUAUCCAUCCAUCCAUUUAUUUAUUUUACUAGUUUCAGGGCACGUGUGUAUAGUAUAUAUAGUAUACGAUGUUGUAAAAUAGAAUUAAUAUUACUAAAUUAAUUAUUUUUAGUAAAUAAUUAUAACUUAAAAAACAUAGGACAAGUGCUUUAAAAUGAUUAAUACGUAUUGUUAUAGAGUUACUUGUAUUUUGAGAUCAAAAUGACCAGAUAUUUUUGAAACAUUUCAAAAUACAUUCAAAGUUCAAAUAUGGGGAGAAAGUGACACUUCUUUAUUAGUAUUAUUAUUUACAUAACUCAAUUUUGUAAACAAAUCUAACCAACAAAAUUUAAAAAAAAAUAUCAAUACAAAAAAUGUCACCAAUAGUCUUUCCUCUUGAGGUUAUGAACAUAAAUGAUGGACACCAUUUAAGUAUAAUUUUCUCUCUUAAAUAUUCAUAUUUCAAAUUAAGUAUGUGCAUGAAACUAAUAAGGAUUACCAUAAAUAUUUCAAUAUUUUAUCUUUAUACGUAAUCUAUCUUUUACCAAUUAAUACUUGAGUACGACUAUCAUAGAGAGGUAAUUCUACAAAAAAGGUACUUUAUUGUUAUAACGAAUGAUGGUUAAAUUGAGGUUUGAGUGCAUGUCAAAUAUUUAGCUUGACAAUUUCUUUCUUUUAGAUAUACAUAUAUAUUUAAGUAGCAUAAUUUAAUUUUAAUAUAUAUAUAGCAUCACCUUUGGUGAAAAAUAUUUCAUUUCUUUAAAUUUCUACCGUAUCUUUGUAGAAUUGUAGUCUUCUCCUUUUUCCUGCUGCAUACAUACCAUAUAGUUGUUGUUUUAAUGAAAGUAUCUAGUAUCUUAUACAAGUUAUAUCGUGAUAUAAAAUAUUAAACUUUUUCAAUAAUAAAAAUUAAUAGAUGAAUAAAAUUUAAAUUAUUGUUUAUAGAAUCUUUAAUUUGAAUCAAGAUUAUUUUAUGAUCAAUCACUAUUUACUUAUCUAUUUUUAUAUAGCUAACAAGGAGUGUAUCAUGUGACCUAAAAUUUUCUCAAAUUAAAUGAACAAAAAAUAAUAGGAGAAAAUAUAUGGAAAGAUACAUAGCCAAUGAAGAUGGAAGACGGAAAUAUAGUUUCAUGUUAUAUUCACAAUAGAGUUCUAUUUGAUUAAAAUCUCUUGUAACCAACACUUUACUUUUUCGUUCAUUUUUACUUACAUAUCUAUUAAAAUAUAUAUUAUCAUAUUAUAAGUAAUAGUGAAAAUCUAUUUUUGAAAUAGUGAAUUUAACAUCAAAACUAAUAAUUCAACGAACUAAUGCUCAUUGUUUUAGCCAAAUCAGAAAGAAAUUAUUUUAUUUGAGGGUAAAAAAGAGAAAAUGGCCAAAUCCCUCCUCAAUCUAUAACCAAAUUCUCAACUACACACUUAUAUUUUAUGAGAGUCCUAUUACCCCCUUGAACUACUUUAAAGCGAAAUAUAUACCACCCUUAAACUAGAUAACCACAUUCUUUGUAUGUGGCGUGCACACGCGCUACAACUGUCAAAUAUCAUUAUCAUUAUUAUUUUAAAAGUAAAUGUUAUUCUUCUUUUUCAUUGCCAACAACAUCAUCUUUACUCUUCUCUUCUCCAGAUAUUGAGACAUGAUUUUUAUUUCUUUUCACUGUAAACUCCCCUAAACCUUUAUCUCCCUCCACCCCAUUUCUCCCUAGACACCCCACCCCCACCCCCACCCUCGUCUUCCAUAACCCACAAAUUAGAUCUCAAUUCAAGAUUCAUAUCAACACUUAUCAUCUCUUUUUCGGGUAAAAGAAAAUCAACAAUAUUUAUCAACAACAUCACCAUCACAACAACAAUUUUAUCAAGUCAUUUAGAUCAACCCCUUCACCUCUCCCACCCAAAUUCUGCAAUCUUGGCACCAAUUUUAAGUUCGAAGUUUUUGCUAAUCAUCUUGGACUUGAGUACAAUUAUGCCCUUUUGAAUCCUUCUUUAAAUAGUGUAGGAUUUAUGCCUUUUAAACUUGAGGAAAUAAUUUGGAUUAUCAGGGUUGAGCAUAAUCGACUGGUGGUUGCUGCUCAAGUUCCUAAAAUCGUUAUUGGGUGUAGUUUGAAUUCUUCAUCGAAAAGUAAUAGAGAUUAGAUAAUAUCUGAAGGUUGGUGAAUUUUAUUAGAGUAAAGAGAUUAAAGACGAUUUAAUUUUAUUCACUAUAUGAGUAAUAUAAUAAUUUUAAUGCUUAUUUGGUGAUUUCGAUGGUGAUUUACAAUGUUAAGAAUUGUGAGUAAAUAGUGUGACAAAUAAUGAGAAAGUACUAAAAGAUGGGUGAAGACAUUGGCUGCUAUGGUAGUGGGCUAGUGGUGGUUCAACAAUGGUGAUGAAGAACAUGUAAGGUGGGGUGAUUUUUUUGAGUGAUGAGAGAGAAAAUUAAAUAAAAGACAAAAGUAAAAAAUUAUAUAGUAAAAAAAAAGUCAAAAUAUUUUUAAAAUAUCUUUUUAUCAGUUUUUUCAACUUUCACAUGCCUUCAAGAGUGUGAGCACACUCUCUGUGCCAUGUCAGCACUUAAGGGUGCAUUUAUACUACUUUAAAAUAGUUUAAGGGGUAAUAGGACCCCUAUAAAAUAUAAGUGUGUAGUUGAGAAUCCGGUUAUAGGUUGAGGGUGUAUUGGACCAUUUUCUCGGGUAAAAAAUAAAAAACCAAAGAAGAAAUAUCUUACCCAAAUCAUGUGACUUUAUUCAUAUUUUAUUAUUAUUAUUGUCUUCCCACAACAUUUCCUCACCGUUAACUCAUAAAAAUCGUAAGAAAAUAUACGAGUGUCAAUUUAUGAAUGAUUUGCUACAAUUUGUUCACCAACUCCAUCUUAUGUGGUACCUCGGAUUUCAUUGAAUUUUGAACUUAAUCAACUAUUACAAAUAACCCUGAGAUUUUUUUUAAGAAGUAGAAGAGUAGAAAACUUUAAAAAUCGUAGUUUAAAAGUGAGAGGAAACCCUCUAUUUAUAGCUAACAAAUAGUAGUAUUAAUAGGUGCUAAUUGUUCCUUAUCAGAAAAGUUGACCUUUCAUAAAAGUCACUGCUCAUCGGAAAAAUCACAACCUUUUGCAAAAGUCACAACUCAUCGGAAAAGGCACAACCCUUUGAAAAAAAUCACAACCUUUCAGAAAAGUCAUAACUCUUCGAAAAUGUCAAACAUAAAAUUUUCUCAAAUUAAAAUGAACACAAAAUAAUAGGAAAAAAUAAUAUGGAGCGAUAGAUAGCAAAUGAAGAAGGAAGACAAAAAUAUAUGUUCAUGCUAUAUUCACUUUAGAGUUCUAUUUGAUUAAAAUCUCUUGUCACCAACACUUUACAUUCUUCGUUCACUUUUACUUACAUAUCUAUUGAAAAUAAUUAUUAUCAUGUAUAUAUUAUCAUACUAUAAGUAAAAGCGAAAAUCUAUUUUUGAAAUAGUAGAUUUAACAUCAAAACUAAUGAUUCAAUGGACUAUGUUGAUGCUCGGUGCUUUAGCAAAAUCAGAAAGAAACUGCUUCAUUUGAGGGUAAAAAAAACAAAUAAAAAAUCAAAGAAGAAAUAUCUUACACAAAUCAUAUGACUUUAUUUAUAUUUGUUUAUUAUUAUUGUCUUUUCCACAAUAUUUCGUUACUGUUAACUCAUGAAAAUCGUAAGAAAAUAUACGAGGUGACUUUAUGAAUGAUUUGCUGCAAUUUGUUCACCAACUCUUUCUUAUCUUGUAUCUUGAAUUUCGUUAAAUUUUUAACUUAAUCAACUGUUACAAAUAACCCUUGGAUUUUUUAAGAAGAAGAAGAAGAGUAGAAAAUUUUAAAAAAUUGUAGUUUAAAAGUGAGAGGAAACCCUCUAUUUAUUUCUAACAAAUAGUAAUAUUAAUAGGUGCUAAUUGUUCCUUAUAAGAAAAGUUACAACCUUUUGUAAAAGUCACUGCUCAUCAUAAAAAUCACAACCUUUUGCAAAAGUCACAACUCAUCGUAAAAGACACAACCCUUCGGAAAAGUCAUAACCCUUUGAAAAAAAUCACAACCUGUCGGAAAAGUCACAACUCAUCAAAAAUGUCAAACAUAAAAUUUUCUCAAAUUAAAAUGAACAGAAAAUAAUAGGAAAAAAAAUAUAUGGAACGAUACAUAGCUAAUGAAGAAGGAAGAAGAAAAUAUAUGUUCAUGCUAUAUUCACUAUAGAGUUCCAUUUGAUUAAAAUCCUCUUGUCACCAACUACUUUACUUUCUUCGUUCAUUUUUACAUACAUAUCUAUUAAAAACUUAUUAUUAUCAUGUCUAUAUUAUCAUAUUAUAGGUAAUAGUGAAAAUCUAUUUUUUAAAUAGUGGAUUUAGCAUCAAAACUAAUGAUUCAAUGGACUACAUUGAUGCUCCUUGUUUUAGCAAAAUCAGAAAGAAACUGCUUAAUUUGAGGGUAAAAAAAAAAAAAACCAAAGAAGAAAUAUUUAUUAUUAUUGUCUUUACCACUACAUUUUGUCACUGUUAACUCAUGAAAAUCGUAAAAAAAAUACGAGUGUGAAUUUAUGAAUGAUUUGCUACAAUUUGUUCACCAGCUCUUUCUUAUGUGGUACCUCAAAUUUCGUUGAAUUUUGAACUUCAUCAAAUGUUACAAAUAACUGUGAGAUUUUUUAAGAAGAAGAAGAAGAGUAGAAAACUUUAAAAAACUGUAGUUUAAAAGUGAGAGGAAACCCUCUAUUUAUAGCUAACAAAUAGUAGUAUUAAUAUGUGUUACUUGUUCCUUAUCAGAAAAGUUACAACCUUUUGUAAAAGUCAAUGCUCAUCGGAAAAAUCAGAAUCUUUUGCAAAAGUCACAACUCAUCUGUAAAGGCACAACCCUUCGGAAAAGUCACAACCCUUUGAAAAAAUCACAACCUUUCGAAAAAGUCAGAACUUGUCGAAAAUGUCAAAACCCGUAAAAAAGUCUCAUCGGAAAAGGUACAACCCUUCAGAAAAGUCACAACCCUUUGAAAAAAUCACAACCUUUCGAAAAAGUCAGAACUCAUCGAAAAUGUCAAAACCCGUCAAAAAGUCGAAACCCUUUGGAAAAGUCACAUUUGUUUGAGAAAAUCGCAACCUUUUAAUAUGAAAGGGUAUUUACAUUUAAUAUAAUACAAAUAAUUAAAUUAAUAAAUAAAACAAAUUGAGUAUUUUUAAUUAGGGGUAUUAUAGUAAUUCAACAUUCAUUUUAGGAGUUCAUACUUUUAAGGUAGUAUAGAUAUUAUAUUAAAAGCACACACAUUUUCACAUUUAAGGGUUGUGAAAUUUCCAAAGAUUUAUAAUUUUUCCGAUGAGUUGUGACAUUUUCAAGGGUUGUGACUUUUCUACAAGGUUGUGACUUUUCCGAAGAGUUGUGACUUUUUUGAAGGGGUUGUGACUUUCCAAAGAGUUAUGAAUUUUCGAUGAGUUGUGACCAUUUUUUUUUUGAUAAGGCACAAUAAGCAUUUUUCUUUGUUGGCUAUAAAAAGAGGGAUUUCCUCAAAUUUUUUAACUACAAUUUUUUUAAUGCUUUUCAUUGUUCUUCUUCUUAAAACACUCAAUAUAGUAUAUUUUCUAUUAUAUUAAAAGAAGACACCAUUUUACAUUGAAUGGUUACAACUUUUCCAAAGACUUGUAACUUUUUCAAUGAGUUGUGACCUUUUCGAAAGGUUGUAACUUUUAUGAUAAGAAACAAUAUGUGUAUGCUCAUACUACCCAUUGUUAACUAUAAAUAGAGGAGUUUCCUCACAUUUUUAAACUACAAUUUUUUUUAUGUUUAUAUUCUUCUCUUAAAAAAAACUCAAGUUUGAUUUACAGACGUUGACAAUUUCAAAGUUCACUGAAACUUGAUCACUUCCUAACAUGAAUGUUCAAAUUAAUAGGCGGAAUGGUCUGGGAGACCCUUGUACUUGGCUCCGUUUGUAUGUUGGACCCUUAUACUUACGACUUUGUCAAUCGAACCCUUAAACUCGCUGAAACACAAUUAUUAAACACCUCUGACCAUUGAUUGAACACAUGUGACAUUAAUAUUGCUGACUUGGAAUGAUGCGUGGUUCCACGCGUUUUAAAGAAAGUGUCUGAAAUUUAUAUGAAAAAAACAAUUAAAUUUUUUAAAAAUAAAUAAAUGAAAAACACCAAAAAAAACAUAAAGGCAGUUAUCUUCUUCAAGCAGCCUGUCGCUGCUGCCCCCCCCCCAACCAACCCCCCAACCAAAUUUCUUAAACCCAUUCCACUUCUUUCCUUCUCUCUUUGGAUUCACCCACCAUUUCCCUUCUUCUUCUUAACACCCCGCACACUGUCUCACCCCUAAAUAUUUUCUCAAAAUUCAUUCUUUUUAAAAAUUUCGAUUUCAUGCGUAGUCUUUGGUGAUAGUGGGUAUUGAAAAAUGAAAAACUUCAUUGAUAAGCUUGAUGAAGCUUCAAGAAUAAUAAAUGGGUUUUGUGAAUUUAUGAAAUAAAUUUGAAAUUGUAUAGAGAUUUGUUGGGUUUAUGUUUGUGAACAAUAUAGUGUAAAAUUCAAGUCAAAUAGUUAAGAAUUCCACCAAUUUAACAUGAAUUUGGUGCUCAAUUUGAGAGCAAAAAUGGAGAAAAUAAUGUUCAAAAUUUCUAGCAUAUGCAGAAGUACUCUUUUUAUUUUUAUUUUAUUUGUUUAAUAUUUAAUUUAUUGUGUGUCAUUAAAAAUGACGUGGAAUUCUACCUGUAAAUGAGUGUACCACACGCACACACAUAGGAUGAGGAAAGAGUUUAAAAUAUUGUGUUUCAGUGAGUUAAAAGGUUUAGUUGACAAAAUUGUAAGUAUAAGGGUCCAACUUACAAACAGAACAAAGUAUAAGGGUCUCUCAAGUCAUUCUGCCAAAUUAAUAUAAUACUCUGACUAAAAACAUCCAAUUUAGUAAAUAUUCUAUAUUUUAUAUCAAUAUUUAUUUAUAUUAUAUUACAUUGAAAGUAAGAACUCCAACGAUACAAUAAUAACUAAGUUAAUGGGUCAAGUCUAAUAUUUAUUUAAUACCUUAUACCACUUGGCCCAUGUAAUAACCCGUUAGGUCAUUUUGAGAAUUUGGACUAUUUUGACUCUUCCCGUAAAAUUUUAGAUGAAAAUUUUGAACAAUUCAGUAACUACGCUUAUUUAAUUGUCAGAAAUUUUUUAAUUAUUAAUUUAAUUAGAAAGUAAUGGGCCAAGUCUGAAAUCUAUCCUAUACCCUUUACCACUUGGCCCAUAAAAUUAAAUUAAGUUAGUGGGUUUUGCCACUUUAAAUACCUAAUUAGUUUAUUUGAAAAAGGAAAAGAAUUGUGGCAGAAAACUUCCCUCUGCAGACGAACGAGAGAAGAAGAGAAAACAAAAUAAAACCAUACUUCGAACUUCAGGUAAGCAAAAAAUUAGUGCACAUUCUUAAUUUUUCUAUAGCUUGCUAUGUAUAUGAAAUAUAUGGCGUUCUAUUUAAAUUGGGUGGACAAGGAAUUGAAAUUGUUUUCUCUAACUACGAUGUCACGAGUGGAGGAAUAAAUUGAGGACUUGUGAUAGUUGAAUGUAAGGGUAAUAUUUAGGUAAUGAUAAUUUAAUAAUUAGGAUAUAAUGAGUGAGUGUGGGGAUAAUCAUUGACAGAGAAGGAUGUCUGCAUAAAUGAAACAUGUAUAUAGUUCCAUUAGUUAUUAUUUUAUCUUAUUUCGUGGGUAAGGUUACACGUGAGUAGCUAUUGGCUUAAAAUUUUGAAUUUUCAUAUAGUUAUUACUAUUUGAAGUUUUAAUAUGUGGAUAUAGGUAACAAAUUUUUGGUGGUAUUGUAUUAUAUGAAUAUCAUUAGAUUCAUGAUAUUUGGGGCUUAACUCUAGCCUUGAAAUUUAACAAAUAUGUGUUUGACAUAUCAGUUGACACCAAAAUUAGGAGUUUGAUUAUCGAUUAGUGUAAGUUUGGGUCUAGGCUAGACAUAUAUUAAUAUGGGUGUCUAUAGACUCAUUUGUUUAAGAAUAUUUCAUAUUUGAUAGAUUCAAAACGUUCGAAAGCUUUGCGAAAGGGGAAGGAAAAAUCUUGAGGAUUUGUGGCACGUGUUCGACAUUCAAGGUAUGUUAAGACUUUCAGACUUCGUUGAAGGACAUUUUUCUAUUUAAAGAUUAAAAAUGAAAUAGACCAUGAGUAAGGGCGAAAGAUAGGGUCUUGUACCAAUGGUGUGAUGGGCAAUGGUACGAGUAGUGGUGUUAUAAAGGGAAAGCUUAUCACUAUAGAAUGUGGAUUGUAAUUCGGGAAUGCCAAAGAACAUGGACAUUAGCUGAUGUAUUGUUGAUUUCUUCUGUGUGAUUGUGUUUUUUUUUGGACCCGUAAAUUUGUUAUAGCUGAGGUGAUUACAUAUCAUAUUGAUAUUUGAUUGAUUGAGAUGCAUCAUCAUCCUUUUUCAUUGAUAUUAUAUUGUGCACAUGUAUUGACAUGAGACUGAGUAUAAGUUAGGUACGUGGAGAUCAUCCGUGCCGGGGAUUGUGAGAUGUUAAGAUUAUAAUUUGAGUACGUGGAGAUCGUCCGUGCAGAAAUUGUUAGAUUUUAUGAUAGUGCGUUGAUAUCGUCCCGCACAGACACGUGGAGAUCGUCCGUAUCGGUAUAUGGAACUCGCGAGUUAGAUUUUAUGAUAGUGCGUUGAGAUUGUCUGCACAGACACGUGGAGAUCGUUCGUGUCGGUAUAUGGAACUUGCGAGUCCGCCAUGGGUCCGAUGUAUUUCCGAGGAUAUCAUGGAUAUGCAGUUCUUCUUCUUCUUCUUCGGUAUAUGGAACUCGCGAGUCCCCCAUGGGUCCGAUGUAUUUUUGAGGAUAUCAUGUAGAUACAGUUCUUCUUCUUCUUUUUCUUCCUCUUCUUCUUCCUGUUCUUCCUCUUCCUCUUCCUCUUAUGAGAGGAUUUUUGAGAGGGAAUUGGGUUUCUUCUGGGGAUUUAGAAACAAUGAUUUGGAAUGACUUAAUUAAGGGUCUAAAGUAUUUAUAUAGGUGGUCUAAAUUAGGGUAAAAUGACACCACUUAAUCCCUAAUUAAUUUCGAAAAGUUCCACUUACCCCUCACUUAACCGCCUAAGACCAACACAUUGCCUCACCCACAAGACCACGCCCACGGGUCGUGGCUGGACCCAUGGGGUGUGGUGGUCAAUCAUGAGUUGUGGUCUGUGGGUCUUCAUUUGGGCCCUUGACCCACAAAGCCAACCACAUGGCGUGGACCCAUCCACGAGGCGUGGGUCCUGCCCGUGGUUACUGCCCUAGGCAGAUUUCAGGAAGGGCUCACCCACGCUGCCCACUUACGGGCGUGGUUCCAUCCACGGGGCAUGGAUGGCCUCGUGGGUUGCACUGUUUUGGGCAGUUCUAGGGUCUUCCUCAAGGACCCUUGGUUGGUCCUUGGGGUCAUACCUUGACGUUCUAACACGAAACCCUAUAUUUUUAGGUACGGGGAGGUACAUUCAUGACUCUAACCCUCACGUCAAGCUCUAGUUUAGCUUACUAGUUUCUGGGGUGUUACACUAUCAAUCAUUAAUUUUACUCUAAUACCUCUUUCUCAAGCAAGCAUAGAGAGCUAAGCUAGAACCGAAUUUGCAACUUCAGUUCAUCAAUUAAAACACGAAAAAACAAUUGAACCCAUUUCCAAACAACAUUAAAUUCAGCAAUUAACAUCCAUAAGCUAAUUAAUGCAUUCGACUACAUGAUCACACCCCUUAGAUAAGGAUUUUUAGCCAAACAUAGCAAAAAGUGAGAAAUCGUUACCAAAAAGAUUGUCCAUCCAAAUUGUUAAAAAUCUGCAAUACUCAAUGCCCGAAUUAAAGCUAGAAUCCUAAAACCUCAAAUUCGAGAUCCAAAUGUUCUCCAAGGUGUUCAACAAUGUAAAAAAUGUAAAAGCUCUCAAAAUUUGGGGAAUACACACUUUAUUAGUCGGGAAUACACACUCAAAAACUUAGAAAUACACACUACUUGUAGACAUUCAUGUUGUCCUAAUCGAUUGGGUUUUACUUGAGGACAAGCAAAUGUUUAAGUUGGGAGUGUUGAUGAGUCGGGAAGUUCGACUCAUUUAGGGCUUAUUAUUCAAUGAAUUAGUGUCCUCAAUGCCUAUUUUGUGCUCAUAAGUGAUGUUAAUGUGUUUAUAAGCAACAAUGAAGGCUUAAAAACAAGACAAGGCCAUUAUGUUGUGAAAAGGAUCGAAAAAGUUGGAAAACCUGAAGAAAUAAGAAGUUGGAGCUCGCAAAAGCCACUCAACGACUUUUCGCGUGAGCCUCCUGCUCGCCAAAAUUUCCAGUGAAGUAGCUCAUGUACCAGGCCAACUUGGCGAGCAAAAGAUGAUUCGGCGUGUCGAAUGGAUCAGUGAUCACGACCCAGCUCGCCUAAUCUUCUAGAACAAUUUGAUGCAGGAACCAAGACACACUACAAGAAAAAGCUUUAUUUAAGACCAAUAUUUAUGGACGAGUCAAUAAUCCCGUCUCUAAAAGUAGAUGUAUUGGGACGAGAUUUUAUUUUGGUCUUUAAUUAUGUAUGUUUUUGUGAAGGUACUAAAUUUGGUCUCUAGAAAAAGUAGUAACUGGUCCCAAAUCAAAAUUUAGGGGUCUUGAGAAAUAUAUAUUGAAAGGCGGGAACUGAAAUGUAUAAAAAAAACAUCUUUUUUCACCAAAAUUAGGCGCCUAAAAGAUCAGUAAUACUGAUAGAUCAAAAUUCUAAAAGUAAAAGAAAAAAAGUGAUCGUGAAAUCAAAAACCCUAGCAAUGAUCUUCCCUAACAACAAUCUUCCCUUACAACGAUUUUUGGAAACGCACUGGUUUACCUAGCAAGAAACACAAUAUAGGUCUGUGUUUUCUCAGAACAGAGAAAGCAGAGGUCUGCGCAGCAGUGAUCUUCACUCAAUCACUAUCUUCUAUUCACUCGAAUCUCAGGUAUUCCUCCACUUCUAUGAGUUGAUUUGAUUUCAUCUGUGAAGUCGAUUAGUUUUUUGUAUUGUUCGAGUUAUAUCUCUUCUUUUUUAAACUCUUGUUCUGUUAGACUAGCUGCCGAUUGUUUUCUUAAAGAACAUGAAGUUUUGUAGUGUGAUAUGAUCCAAAAAAUGAAGGGGAUCAGUCCUUAAUGAAUUACGUUACAAUUUUGUUUGGGUCUGAAGCUGAUGAACUAUGUAAAACGCAAUAGAACUAAUGUAAAUUACCUCAUGUGGUGCUGCACAUUAAAGGUUGAAAGAGUGAUAACUUCGUUUGCAUCUGAAACUUGGGUUCUUUAAAGCUUCGUUUGCAUCUGAUGAAACUUGGACUCUUUAAAGGUUUAAAGGUUGAAAGAACUAAUGUAAAUGACUUCCUGUGGUGCUGCACAUUAAGUUAUAGUUUCGUUUAAAGCAUUCUUUCCUCUUUUUCUAGCUAGUUCUCUGAUUUCUCUCUACUUGUAUCUCAGCUACGCAUCCUCUUUUGCAAGUUUUUUUUUUCUGCUCAAAAUUUUAAUUGUUGAUUGUUUUCUUCCUAUAGCAUAGUGUAUAGUGUGUGCCUAAAGAAUUGAUCAUAUUUUUACGAUGAAAUUCAUUCAAGCUAAUGAAAGAUGAAGUAUGACAUAAAACUUAUGUAAAUUACCUCUUGUAUAUGAUGUACAUAGUAGGUAGAAACAACGAUAGUUUCAUUUAGGUUUCAAAACAUGGAAAACUUGAGAUUUUCAAGAAGAUAUGUUCUAGCAGUACCACCAUAUUUUUUCCAUUCUUGUAAAACUGAAUCACUAGUUGUUAUCUAUUUGUUCAAGUUUCACGUAAGCCUCCUCUUUUGGGACCUGCUUUUUUCUUCUUCUAUAUAUUUGAUUUGUUUGAGUUACACUACUUGUUUGAUUUCAUCUGUGAAGUCAGUUUGUUGUUUGUAUUGUUUGAUUUAUAUCUCUUCGUUUUUGAACUAUUGUUUUGUUAGACUAGCUGCUGAUCGUUUUCUUAAAGAACAUUAAGUUUUGUAGUGUGAUAUGAUCCCAAAAAUAAAGAGGAUCAGUCCUUAAAGAAUUAAGUUACAGUUUUGUUUGAGUCUGAAGUUGAUGAACUAUGUCAAAAGCAAUAGAACUAAUAUAAAUGACUUCCUGUGGUGCUGCACAUUAAAGGUUGAAAGAGUGAUAGCUUUGUUUGCAUCUGAAACUUUGAUUCUUUAGAGCUUCAUUUGCAUCUGAAACUUGGAUUCUUCAAAGCUUCGUUUGCAUCUGAUGAAACUUGGACUCUUUAGAGGUUGAAAGGCUGAAAGAACUAAUGUAAAUGACUUCCUGUGGUGCUGCACAUUAAGUUACAUUUUCGUUUAAAGCAUUCUUUCAUCUUUUUCUAUCUGGUUCUCUGAUUUCUGUUUACUUGUAUCUCAGCUAUGCAUCCUCUUUUGCUAGUUUUUUUUUCUACUAAAAAUUCGAAUUGUUGAUUGUUUUCUUCUUAUAGCAUAAUGUAUAGUGUGUGCCUAAAGAAUCGAUCAUAUUUUUACGAUGAAAUUCACUCGAGCUAAUGAAAGAUGAAGUAAGACAUAUAACUUAUGCAAAUUACCUCUUGUAUAUGGUGUACAUAGUAGGUAGAAAUAACGAUAGUUUCAUAUAGGAUUCAAAACUUGGAAAACUCGAGAUUUUCAAGAAGAUAUGUUCUAGCAGUAGCACCAUAUUUUUUCCGUUCUUGUAAAACUGAAUCUCUAGUUGUUCUCGAUUUGUUCAUGUUUCAUGUAAGCCUCUUCUUUUGGGACCUGAUUUUUUCUUCUUCUAUAUAUUUGAUUUGUUCGAGUUACACUACUUGUUUGAUUUCAUCUGUGAAGCCAGUUUGUUAUUUGUAUUGUUCGAGUUAUAUCUCUUCUUUUUUGAACUUUUGUUCUGUUAGGCUAGCUGCUGAUCAUUUUCUUAAAGAACAUUAAGUUUUGUAGUGUGAUAUGAUCCCAAAAAAGAAGGGGAUCAGUCCUUAAAGAAUUAAGUUACAGUUUCGUUUGGGUCUGAAGUUGAUGAACUAUGUCAAAAGCAAUAGAACUAAUAUAAAUGACUUCCUGUGGUGCUGCACAUUAAAGGUUGAAAGAGUGAUAGCUUCGUUUGCAUAUGAAACUUUGAUUCUUUAAAGCUUUGUUUGCAUCUGAUGAAACUUGAAUUCUUUAAAGGUUGAAACAACUAAUGUAAAUGACUUCUUGUGGUGCUACACAUUAAGUAAAAGUUUGUGGCAUGAUAAGAUCCCAAAACGAAGUUGAUCAAUCCUAAGAGAAACAAAUGUUCCUAAGGAAACAAAACAGUGAACUACUCUUAAAUAGAGGCACUCACAGGUCAUGCAUUAAGACAAUGUUCGGAGAGAAGAUAUAUGAAUUUUUAUUCGACUCAAGAAAUCUAUUCAGAAUUACAAGUGAACGAAUGUUUACCUUUUAAUACUAACAGAGCACACUGUAAAGUGUCUUCAGUUAUUAAAUCUGAUCCAAAUAUAUAGGCACGUGCAACUAAUUCUUAAAAAGAUUUCUAUCUAACUAAAAUAAAUUAGUAAUUGCAAAAGGCACCAUUGAAUUAUUAUCUACUGUAAAUGGAUCAUAUUUUAGUGUUUUGUGUGUGUCUAAGGAAUCGAUCAUAUUUUCUUACAAUAAAAUUAACUCGAACUCACAAAAGAUGUAUAAAGCAACAGAAUUGAUACAAAUUACCUCAUGUGGUGCUGUACAUAGAAGGUAGAAAUAGUGAUAAUUCCAUUUGAGUUUCAAACUUACCAAACUUGAUAUCUUUCAAGAGAUACAUUCUUAUAGUUGCACCAUAUAUUCGGUCAUUCCUAUCAAACUCAAUCACAACAAAUUUAUCAAAAAUUUAUAAAAAUAUAUUGUAAUUAACUUUUAGAAGGUUAAAGAUGCAACUGACUUCUUACAGUUAUACUUCAUGUGAUUCCAUAUAUAGAAGGUAGAUACAAUGACACUUCUCUUUGGGUCCUUGAGAAAGAGAACACGGAACCCAAAUCCCCUUGUUCUACUCAUCAAGUUAUGCAAGUCUCCCAAACAACUGAAACAUGUAUGACAAUUUACAAAUCCAUUCACUAUCAAUCUGUUGAACUAAAUUUUAUUGCUACAGUUCUUACUAAAUUAUAAAACUAUAGGAUCAUCUAAUCCAAGAAAUGUAAAAAGAGUGCGAGGGAGCAACAAGUGUAAAGAAGUUGCAUCACUUGAAGCUGAAAAGAGGCUGAAAGUAACAUUUUACAAUAAUAGAACAGUUGGAACAAAUAGCAAUCUGUUUUCAAGGCACCUGGGAAAAAUAAUUUGUGACUGUAAUAUGUGUCCAUUGGGAGUACCAUCGUGGAGGGACAUUAAGCAACAAAAGUUGGAUCACAUGUGGGCAGCUAUUGAGGUACAAUUACGAAUUACAUCAUCAUUAUAUUUAUAUUCAGCUUUUUUGUGCUCUGUUAAUUAUUACAUGAAUCUAAUCAACUAACCAAAAAGAUAAAAAGAAGGAUAUCUACUAAGAAGAUACAUUGGUGUAACUACCAUCUGGUGUUUAACUUGAUGAAUUAGAACUUACUAUUCUUAUAUUUCCAACAUUAACCGUUGUUGCACAUAUUUUUCUUUCUCAAUUUUAUACAUAGUUUUUGUAUAGUUGACGCACAAUAUUCACUCUCCUUUUGUAGGAUAAAUUUGAGAGUGUUGACUUCAAUGAUCAUCGUGAUCAUAUAUUUGGAUGGAUGAAUGAGUUAUGGAACAAAUGGAGAGGAUACUUGCAUGCUACUUAUGUGAAGAAUAAGCCAAUUGCUCAGGCUCUUAAUAAUAUUCCAAAGGGAGUAGAAAAGAAGAAAUGGGAGUGGUUAGUUAAGGAACAUUUUUCUUCUGAAAGUUUUCAGGUAUACCUAGAGAUCUAAUAGCCUAUAUCUUUCAAGUAUCCAUUUUGCAACUCAUCGUGAUAUUUAGAUGUGAAACUAUCUCUAAACUUGGUAAUAUUUCUUAGAUAUGGCUUUUUAACGUACCAAUACAGGCGAGGAGCAAUAGAAAUGCAGAAAAUUGAGCUAUGUUAAAGAUGUUUCAUCACAUUGGUAGCAAGCCUAUUAGAGAGAUUAUUUAUCAGCAGGUAUUAUCGAAAAAUAAUUUUCCUAAAUAAAACGUUUAAGAAGUUCUAUUUGCGGAUAGUCGUUUAAGCAUUUAGUGUAUAGCUAAACUCUUAGAUGAUUGAUCGUGUUUAAAGGAAUUUCUUCACUUCUGAGGUUCUUUGUUGGUGAUUUAUUUUUUCUCUUAGCUGGUGGCUGUUUGAUCACCUAUAUAAGUUAGUUUUGUUUAGUGAGCUUUAUCACUUUUGCUGGCAGGACAAAAAUCUAUGACUAACUCCCUUCCUGCAUAAGUUAGGUUGAUUCUUCCUAACAUUUUAUCAAGAAGUGGAUGAGACAUUCAAUAAUUCUAUAUAUGAAUCUUUAUACAUAAGACUGGGAUAGUGCUGAUUUGUUGAUAAACAGAGUUGUUUUAUACAUUAUGUUUCGAGUUAUUUUCAUGUUUGUGUCGUUUCUUUCUAGACAGAAAUUGGAAACUGAUUUGCAUUGAGUUUUAGCCGUUUAGCAGCUACAACCGUAGUAAUAGAUACCACAUAUGAAAUGCUUCAGUUGUUCCGAGUUAUUUUAAUGUUUGUGUCGUUUCUUCUCUAGAAAAAAAUUGAAAAACAGAUACGCAUUCAGUUUUAGCCUUUUAGAUGUCUUGGAAAUUGUUGCUUCUUGUGUGCUAGCAUAUAUAAGUUAUAGAACCAUUACACUUGACCAUAUACAAAAUCUCUCGACCCGUAUAGACACUCAACCAUAUAUAAGUUCUGCUUUGUCCACUAAGAAUAAGAAUACAAGAUAUAAAUGGCAGGAAAGAAGUAACAACGCAUUGUAGCCUCAAAGUAACAACAUCCUAGCCAUAUACAAAAUGUCUCUCCCCCUAUAAGACUUAUCCUUUAUGAAUAGGCCUUUAUCGAUGCAAGAAGAACUUUGACAUCACUCUCAGGGUUAUUAAGAUAAUUUUUUGAUAUCUUUUGCUGUUGUACAUCAUGUUUUCCAUCCAUAUACAGAAUAUCUCAGCAUAAAGUCUAGCAAAACAGAGAUUUGAGUUGCACCUUCAUCUGGUUUAGAGGAUCAAGUAACUAGCUAAACCUGUAUCAUUAGAAUUGCUUAACAGAUCAUUGCCUUCUUUAUCUCUAUUUUUUAAUUUUCUACACGUACAAUUGCAGGCACACAGUUUGAGAUUGUUUGGCUUCUACAAGGAUUAAUGAUGAGAAGAAAAAAGUGAUAACUUGUUUGUUUCCCCUGCUACAAUAAUAACCUACUGGUUUAUAGCUGAAACAGUGAUAUACAUCAUACGUGUUUAGUUACUCUGCAACAACUUCUUUCCCCUAAAACCUAAUAUAAAUCUUCUUGGUGGAGAAUUUCUCCAUUUGUGCUAGCUUAUGUCACUGAAUUUGUGCUUUCGGUAUAGAUUUGGAUUCUUGGUGAAUGCAUCUCAUCAAAGUUUUCUUAAUCAAUUUUUCUUAUGUUGUUGCAGCUUGUUGAUAUUCUGGAUAUCCCUUGGUUAAUUUUAGAGUUCUUUUGUGAAGAAUGAAGCUCAAGUCAAGAUGCAAGUUUAGAAGAUGCACACGACCAUUAUUAUUUUGCUAGGAAAGUUGUGCAAGACAUGAAAUCAUAGUCUAGCUCGGGAUAUUGUUAAUUUGCUAAGAUUUUUUUUGUCAAACAAAUAUUGAAACUAACACCAUGGGAUAUUUACCUAUUUUUAUAUUUAUAUCAGCCUUUUCUCUAGAGAUUUACCAUAGCAAUCUUAUAUUUAUUGGUAGAACUUAUAAUACUUUUGUGAAAUGAGGAUCCAGAAUCAAUGGUGGACAAUUAGAGACCAAAAUUUUUGCUCGUCUCUAAAAGUUCAUCUAAGAUGAGAUAGUUUCUUGUCUCUAAAAGUUUCAUCUAGGAUGAGACAACUUCUUGUCCCUAGAGGCUCAUCUAGGACGAGGUGUUGCUUGUCUCGAAAAACAAUCUAGGACGACGUGGUUGCUUGUCAAGAAAAAGUAAUCUAGGAUGGGGUAGUUGAUCGUCCCUAAAGAGUAAUCUAGGACGAGUUAGUUUCUAGUCUCUACAGGGUUUAGUGACCAGAAAAUGACUAGUUUUUAAGGAAGAAAAUCAUCUAUUUGGGACGAGAUAUGUAGUCUUUAAAAGUACUUUGGUGACCAGCUUUGAUUCCGUCCCUAAGCACAUUUAGCGACCAGUUAAUGGAACCCGUCCCAAUUAACCUUUAGCGAAGAAGCAUUUUAGGACGGGUGGCGACCAGCCUUUUCCCGUCUCAAAAGACAAUUUGGGACCAGAUUUGGACAUUCUAGGACCAGAUUUCCCUUCCUUAGAGACUGUUUUUCUUGUAGUGACAAUAAGCUGAGAAGAAGUGCAACUCGGUAGAUCGUCGAGUCGAUCGAUGAUACCGAAAAAUGAAUUUAUACGUUCCCAAAAACUCAGCAUGGAAUCCACUCGGUGAAGCUAGUCGGGAUCACCGAUUGACUCGGCGAUCCGUCGAGUUGCACUUCUUCUCGCCUUAUUGUCUUGGCUCCUGCAUCCAAUUGUUCUGGAAUAUUAGGCGAGUCGGGUCAUGAUCACCGAUCCAUUCGGCACAUCAAUGAAUCUUCUUUUGCUCGCCAAGUUGGCUUUGUACAUGGGCUACUUCGCUGGAAAUUUUGUCGAGCUGGAGGCUUACUUGGCAAGUCGUCGAGUGGCUUUUGCGAGCUCCAUCUUUUCUUUUCUUCAGCUUUUCUAACUUUUUCGCUCCUUUUCGCAACAUAAUGACCUUGCAUUGUUCUUAAGCCUUCAUUGAUACAUAUAAACACAUUAACAUCAGUUAUGAGCACAAAAUAGGCCUUGAGGACACUAGUUCAUUGAAUAAUAAUUCCUAAAUGAGUUGAACUUCCCGACUCAUAAACACCCCCAACUUAAACUUUUGUUUAUCCUCAAGUAAAACAAAAGAUUGAUCAGGCCAAUAUGGAUGUCUACAAGUAGUGCUCUUGGGACUCAACAUGAAUGCACACAAGGUUCAAUCUACACAUGCACUGUUCAAUUGUGCACUGAAAGUUUCAAACCAUGACUAACACUCAUCAAAUAGAGUUCAAGCUCGCAAUGCUCACUUCAAAUGCAACUGCAUGCUCAACAAGAGUGUUCAAAUGUCUUCACAUCAACAAUGAUUUCACGCUUUCACAAAGCCAAUCAAAGAUUACGAUUAAGGAAUCAAAAUCAAUUCUCACACUCCCAAUGAGAAAAACGUGCACGAUUUUACCCAUAGGCCUUCCCAUAUUUUCCAACCAACACAUCAUUCGGCUCAUGCAAGAUCAAAAAGGUCUUUCAAGGCUUGUAAUUGGGCUGAGGGUACGAGUAUGAUCAUUUUGGCUUAGUGGCUUCUACCUUCACGAAGCAUGGCUCAAAUUUCACUUGUUCUCCUUUUCUUUCAUUCUUUUCACCUUCACAGCUCAUCCUUGGCAUAUUCAAAGCACACGAAAUUUUUGGUAUCGAUUAUUAGACACCCCUUUUAUUUCCACAACAUUACACACUUCAAAUUUUAUCAUUUCUUUGCUUUUUUUUCAUUUUUUUUAAAUGGAGAGGUUCCAUCAUUUUUAUACACAUUCCUUCAAGGAGGAAUUUUCAUGAACUUCUUGCUCUAUUUUCUUCCUUAUUCUUACCACACUCCCGACUUAGGCUUUUUGCCAAAGUUGGCUAUUCAAACAAACUAAUGCUUCAUGAAGGUUUUAGGUGGAGAGGAUAAGGUCAUUUGCGUUCAUGUUUCAUCCAAAAAAAGGUUAGUCUCAAAUGGUGCCAAGCUAGGUUCACACACUCACAAGGUUGUCACACAAAGGUAUAGCAAUUAGGUUCACUCUAAAUUUUUUAUGCAUAAGAUCAUUUCCUCCAUUCACCAAAAUUAGUCAAUCGGACCAACGGAGCAAGUUCUAGAUAACAUUGAUGUGAGGCCAAAAUACAUAUUUUUAAUCAUUAUUUGCCUCAUAUUUAGUAUUUAUAUUUGUCCUUUUUGAGUAUGAAUUUUAUGGAUUGUGCUUUAUAGUAUAUUUUAUUUGUAGGAUUAAAUUGGUGGAAAAUGAAGAAGUUUGGAGCUAAAACCAAUUAAAGAUGGAAGGUUAAAGAAGAAAAUCAAACAGGCAGCUUAAUGGAUUAAAUUAAAUAUAAUAAUAAUAAUAAUAUAUAUAUAUAUAAGUGCAGCGAAGAGAAAUUCACUCAGUAUAACACUGCUGCCACGUGGCAACCAGUAAAGGCAGCAGCAACCCAUGGCAGCGCAACACUGUUUCACACGGAAUUAAAUUCCUUUUAGGUUUUGGGUUCCUAAUUUAUUUUGGACUCAAUUAUUUUAUUCAGAGUUUUCUAUAUUUAUAAAUAGUCCAUAAGAAUAAUUAUUAAUUUAUUAAGGGAGGAUGAUACAAUAUAGAAAAUAAUUUUUGAUUUAGGGUUUUAUCUUUUCUUCUCUUUUAUUUAUUUUACAUCUUUUCUUGGAAUAAUUCGUUGUAAUUGCUCUAUAUCUAUGUGGAGUUAAACUUCUCGUUCUUGGAUUAUAUUUUCUUACAAAAUGAUUGUUUAGUAAUUUUGAUUCUGCAUAAUUGUUUAUCAUAUUGGUUGUUCUAGUCUUGUGGUUACUAUUUCCAUGCUUGAUCAUAGAGAUAAAUAUAUUGUCUACUCUUGAACUUGGGAGAGGAAUGGAGGGAUAGAAUGUGGAAUAUAAGGAGCAUAAUCUUUUCUUGCAUAUCACUUGAAUUGAUUUGUGUCUAGGAUAGGGAUAUACCUAGGUACCUUGCUUGGCUCAUACGGAAAGACAACGUAAUGCUCCAUAGUUGGUUCAGUCUAUCCCCGCUCAACGAUGUAGUUAGACUGUCAAUUGUGGUAGACGGUUAGAGGUCGGGAGAUCAUGACUAUAUUAUCAACCCCGUGAAUCAAUAACUAGAUAAUAAAAUAAGUUGAUGAAAUUGAUGCUAAGCAUGAUUGUUAGUUAAAUCAUAAUCCUAGAUCGAUUCAUUCAUUGAUUGUGUAAACAUCAAUUUUUUCUUAGUUAAUUACUUUUUAGUUAUUUUAUCUUUAUUUUUAGUUUAGUUAAUAUAUAUUCGUCUUUUGAAAUCCUCCCUUAAAUAAAUAAUUAAUAUAAUUAAUAAGAAUAAUUAAUUGACAAGUCCUUUGGGUUCGAUAAUCCGAUUCUUUUAAGAGCCACUAUAUUACUUGCACGACACGUACACUUACGUGUGCAAUUGGUAGCAACAAGUUUUUGGCGCCGCUGCCGGGGACUUAGAAUUAAUUGUUUUUCUAGGUUAAACUUUUUCUUUUUAUUUAUUUAAGUUUUUUAUAGAAAAAAAAAACAAAAAGAAAAAAAAAAUUCUUAUGUUAUACUUUUUUAUUAGUGUCACUUUUUUUCUUUCGAUCUUGUUUUUGUAGAUGAGGGGAAAUCUAAGUACCCAAGAAUUUGAAGCAAAGUAGCAUGUUUGAGCUUAAGUGUGGGGUGCGUACGACCCUUGAUGGAAAAAAAAAGAUUGAAGAGAACAUGCAACUAUCUAGGCCUAGAGGCCUCAGGGAGUUCUUUCUUUCAUUCUUAGCUUGUGUAUUGAAUUGUUGCACUGGGGACAGUGCCAUGUUUUAAGUGUGGGUGGGGGAAUGAAUUCCUUGUUUUUACUGCUUUAUUGAGUCUUUUCAUUUUUUUAGGAUGGGUUCCUUGGCUUUUGUUUUCGGUUCUUUUUCUGAGGAUAGUCCUUUUGAACCGAGUGUCUUUUAUUUUUUAGGAAUAAGUUUUCUUUUAAUUUAUUUUUUUGAGAGAAAAGAAAAGACCCUUUUGAUGGUGUGAUACUUGCUAUUUAGGACUAAUUUUUGAGUAGUACUUUCUUGGGAAUGCUUGAUUGAUAAGGAAAUUGCAGACUCUUUAACACCUAAACUCAUGGUUGUGACUUUGUAUAUAGCUUAUUUUAUUUUGUAGUUUGUUAUGAUUCUUUCUCUCUUAGAAGUGGAAUUGAUCCAUCUUGAUUGAUACUUGUGCCAUGUGUGGAGAGAAUUUGUAUUUUCUAUGUUUUAUAUCUUAAUCUAGAACUUUCCCUGCAUGUUAUUGAAGAGAAAUAAAAAGUGUUGCUUUGUUUAGGAGAUCAUAAUAGGCUUUCUUUGUUUUGUCUUGUAACUUUUAGCCUUUUUAGAUACAUAUCACUAGUAGCCCCUUUGAGCCUGUAGUUUUUUAUCGGUAGCCAUAUUUUUGCCUUGACUUUUUGUUGGAAUCCCUAGUUUUUGCACCCUGCUUCCUUGAGCACUGUAGCAGACUUAUUAUAUUUGUUAAAUCUGAAGAAAAAUGGAUGGUUGAGUGAAAAAAGUAAUCAAUGAUAGCUACAAAGUGAUUAAAAAGCCCUCUUUGAAAGAAUGUGACAUGAAAAAGAAAAAAGAAAAAAAAAGAGAAAAACAAAAUUAAAAAAAAAAUAUUCUUUGGAAAAAAAAUGAUUGAAGCAAAAAAAACGCUCUCUUCUCUCUUAUGCAAACCCUAACCCAAAUCUCCCAGCAACACCUAUGGCCACUCCGGCCACUGGCAAGUCGUCUUUGGCGACUGGUCAGACAGUCCCUUUAACGUUCAAUGAACACUUCCCCAACCUUACUCAUAUAACACGUCUAUCCAAUCCCAAUUGUGGCAUUAAGGAUCCUAAUACUCUGCCUAGCGAACAUGUCGUGCAUAAUGAUGAUACAAUCAGAUUUAAGGAAGGAGAGUAUGCAGCUUUGGUAAAACCUAGUGGUAUGAAUGCAGUUGAUUCAAACAAAGGACUACCAGCAGUACCUUUGAAAAAACCUACGUUUAACAAUGGUAUUCCUCGGGUUACUUGGAAAGAGGAAGAAGUAACACGUAUGAACAUUAUGGAGAAUCUACAAUAUGCUGUGAUAGGAAAGUUCUCUUAUGGGUGGUCUGAGCUAGAUGAGUUGAGAAGGAUUAUCCCUAAACAAUGCAAUAUAAAAGGAGCAUGUCAAAUAGGUUUGCUGCGACUUAGGCAUGUUUUGAUGAUAUUCGAAUUGUUUGAAGACUUUGUGAACAUGAUGUCCAAACCUUCCUAUUACAUUACUGAUAAUGCAGGAUUAUACUAUCCAAUGGGACCCUUGAUUUAUGAUGAGAAGUUCAGAGUUGAUGAAGAAAAAUCAUAGGCUAUGGCAUGGAAAUCCUUCCCUGAUCUUUGGCUUAUUUUUUUUUGGGAGAGAACCUAUUUUUUCAUUUGCAUCAGCAGUGGGUAAACCAAUUCAGUUAGAGACAGCUACUAUCAACAAAACUAGACCUAGUUGUGCUAGGGUUUAAGUCCAACUAGACUUAAGUUAGGUGAUCUUCCUAAGUUUGUGGAAUUGGAGAUUGAGAAUGAAGAGAAAACCUCGUCAAGGGUGGAAAAGGUGAAAGUGGUUUAUGAUAUGCUCCCUAAAUAUUGUAAAAGAUGCAAAUUACAAGGACAUAAUGAGGAAGAAUGUAGAAUCCUACAUCCUGAAUUGAGAAAGCAAGAACAUAAUGCAAAUAUGGAAUUGAAGGACAAAGAAUUGAGCAAACCAUCAAGGUUCCUUAAAAAACAAUGGAACCCUACUAAUAGAAGAUUCAUCAGAAACACUGAUAAGGAGGUUACUACUGCAGGCAUGGAACUAGAGACGGAUGUUAUUGUGAGUAACAACUCAUUUACUGCUCUUAAUGAAGAACAAGAUGAAGGAGAAAAAAAUAAAGGGGAGGGCGGGGGGGGGGGGGGGGAAAUGAAUACAAAAGAAUGGAUUACAAAUUCUUUCUACAAAAAUACAAACACAGUAGGUGAUCAAGCUAUAAAUAACAGUGCAACAAAUAUCAUGGCAGGGGUGAUGAAGUCCAACAAUGUGCUGCCUUCUCAAGAGCCUGAGGAUCAAGAUAAAGCUCUGGUUAUUCAUACACACCUGCAGAAUACAGAGAAGGUCAACAAUGAUAAUGAAGAUCAACUUGAUGAAUGUAUACAAAGGAAUGUAGUAAGUGAGGAACAAAUUAAUAUUACUGAAACAUGUUUUCAGGAAGCUGGGGCUUUGGAUAAAGCAUUAGUAAUUCACAAGGACCAUCAGGUCUUACAUGGGGACAUGUUAGGAGGACAUGAUGAUGUGGUUUUAGAUAUGGUGGAGUUUGAGGAGGAUCCUCUUCUGUGUUCUGAGGAGGUAGGUAACAUGUGCAGUUCAGCCAAUAGAGAGAAGCUCCUUACAGGUUGCUCACUUGGCAGUCAAGAGCAAAUGCACAAUGUUAGGAGUGUAAGAGAAGUUCAUAAUGCAGUAGUCAAUUUUUCAGGGGCAAUCAAACAAAGUUCUCCUAUUAAAGAAUUACAUGGCUUGGUUUCUCAUAAAACAACAUAUAAAGAAAGCAAAAUGGUCUAGUGAUAGACAGGGAUGAAGUUGAAAAUCAAAGUGAUCAUGCACAAGUUAUAAAUAAUGCAGGAGGUUCCCCUCAAGGGAAAUCAAAGAAGAAGAAGAGUAAGCCUCAAGGGGAAAAGUCUACUAGGACUAACCCUAUGUGGUCUGAUAGAGCUAUGUUGAAAUGAUCUUUAUAGCAUUAAUAUGGAAUAUUAGAUCAGUUAGAUCUAAUCAUUCUUUCCAUAGAGUAUAAAUGCUUCAUAGACAUCAUAAAUUUGAUUUGGUUGCCUUAAUGGAACCUUUUCAAGAGAUUAGGAAGAUUCAACAGUUUAAAAGGAGAUUAGGCAUGGCCUAUGCAAAUUAUAACAUCAAUGGGAAGAUUUGGUUGUUUGUCAAGGAGGAUAUUCAGGUGAACGUUGUUUCUGAUUCUGAACAACAAUUGACUAUUGAAAUGCUAUUCCCUAGUGGGCAUCAGAUGGUCAAUACUCUUGUCUAUGCUAAAUGUACAGCUGCUGAAAGACUUCCAUUGUGGGAGGAUAUGUAUGCAAUUGGGCAAAAUAUGAAUUUCCCCUGGUUUGUUGGAGGGGACUUUAAUGUUAUUAUGGAUGCAGAAGAAAAGAUAGGUGGUCUACCUGUCUAUCCAAAUGAGGUGGAGGAUGUGCUUUUUGUAUCAAUUUUUGUGAACUAUUUGAUAUUAAAUUCAAAGGUAGCCCUUUCACUUGGUGGAAUGGGAGGUCUGAUGGUGAAUAUAUUUUUAAAAGAUAGGUGGUCUACCAGUCUAUCCCACUACACUAUUUAACAGUUUAUUUUAAAGGUAUAUAUGUGCCCACGUGGACACGUUACUAUUUAUAAUUAUAAAAUGUUUAUGAUGUCCACGUGAGCACAUAUAUAUACCUUUAAAAUACACUAUUAAAUAGCUUAGGGGGGUAAAAGGUCCUUUUCAAAGUUUGGUAUCGUUACAACAAUUUCGGUCAAAGUUUUGAUAUAUUUCAGACCUUUUUCCCUAUUUUUUUAGAAGAUCUCAAAUAAUUCCCCUUCAUUUUUUAGAAAAAAAUAAUUAAAUAUGAACAAUUAAUGUGAAAACCAAAUGAACAAAAAUAUGAUUCAAAAUAAAUAAGAAUACAUUUAAGCAAAUGAAUCUAUAUUGAGUCGUAAUUUUCAAAUUAAACUAACAAAAAUUUUACAUUUCAUUUUACCCUUGAACUUUGCGAAACAAAUCAAAUGUACCCUAUGUGAAUUGUAUUCUUAUAGUAAUAAUUAAAAAAAUUAAAUUAAGUUUUCACUUUUGUCAGCCUAAAGAGAUAUAUUUGAGUCAUUUUUUAAUAAUAAGGAUAUAUGUAAGCCGUUAUUUUUAAACCAAAUGGUAUAUCAAUUUUAAAUUUCAAGGUUAAAAAAUAAUUAGACCCUUGUUUCUUUAUUAUUAUUAUUGUUUUAUUUUUUAAAUUCUUAUUGUUAUUAUCAAGGCCUAAACCCUAAACCACGCUUGGAGUAUUUCUCAGGCUUUCACCUUUGAGGUUUUCUGAGGCUAUGAAUGAGGAUGCCCACGUGUUUUUGACUACUUGCCGGGAGCAGCUUUAUACAUUUGGGACUGGUGGAGUCGAGAGAAGCCAACUUCACUACUUAUCAGUUAGAUGGGCCAACCAUACAGUCUUGACAUACCUUCAUUCAAACUAGACCAGUUCAUUCCCUUUGGUCAGGUCACUUGGACCGAGUUUUUUUAGGCCUUUUUGGCUAGGUUCAUUCCUUGCAGUGUUAGAGAAAUCACCUCUGGGAUCAUUUCUCUAGGCUGGAGCAGGCUCUCCAUGAUUGUGUUAGAGUAUAAGGCAAGGUUCCACGAGCUCUCUCGCCAUGCCAUUAUGAUUUUACCUAUUGAGGACAAGGAGAGAGUUUGAUGUUGUAUGUGGAUUGAGGUUCCAGCUACGGAUUGAGCCUCAAUCUAUGAUCUCUGGUAUUGUUCCUUUUUGGAGAUUGUCGAUCACGCCCUCACUAUUGAGCAGCGUGAGGCCCAAGGGGGCAGCGACAAGAGAGCUAGAUACGAGGGCAGCUACAACAGAUCAUGUUCCAGGUCCAGAGACACAUAUGAUAGGAUUCUACAGUCACGUAGGCCUAUCUAGGCCUCAUUAAAGAUUUCAAAGGGUGACUGGUAUAGCCGGAGUGAGGUCGGCUCCAGUCAGAGACAUGAGUCCCAUUCUUGUGCUUCAGACUGUGGUGGACGUUCUUCUAGGAGUCGAUCAUCCCCAAGUUAUUUUGAUUGUGGAGAGUUGGAUCACUGGGACAUAUAUUACCCUUUGCGUAGGCAGAUUACUUUUGCUCCACAGGUAGCUCCACCAGUAGCACCUACAACUAGGGUUGAGGUCAGUGUAAACACCUAAGUUUAAACUGAACCCAAGAUUUUACACCAUUUUAUUACUUAAAUGAUUUCUUGUAGGUUAAAAUUUAAUUAUCUAAAGUUUUACUUCUUCCUAGUGAAUUUAUUUUAAAUUGUUGAAAACUACAAAAUAGAAUCCCUUUUAAGGAUACAUUUGUUUUUAAUAUUAUUAUUAUUAUUUUAAAAGAAAGAAAACCUACCAAUAUAUAUACACGUCUUUCAAUUAAAUAUUAUAGUCAGUUAAUACUUUUAAUUGAUUUUAAAAUUUAUUACUUUAAGAAGAAAAUAAAGAAGAAGAACAAAAAGAAAGAAAAAAAAAGAACAUACAAAAAGAACAAUUUUUUUUUUAAAAAGGGAAAAAGUAAUAAAGGGGAAAAGAGGAAGAAACCAAAACGUGUAAAAUAAUAAAGAAAAAAAAUAAAACAAAAUGUUCAGUAAAAGAAGGGAAAAAAUGCAAAAAAUAAAAAAUGAGAAAAGAAAGAAAAAGAUAAAAGGGAAAAAUCUUUCUAAAAAAUAGUCCUAAUCCCUUUAGAAUUUUCAUACAAAACUAAUCCCAAAUUCCAUAAAAAUUUAUCUCCAAUUUUAAAUCCAACUCAAAAGACAAUCCUAAAAUUACUCAAACUCUAAAAUCUCACUCCUACACAAUCCCUAAAUUUUAGCAACUAGAUGCCUAUAUAUACUCUACCCACAAGACAAUUCAAGAGACAAAUUCAAAUACAACAAACACGCAUAAACCACAACAACAAAAAAAAUCUUCCUUUAUUUACCUUUUUUUAAAAGAAAAGAAUUUGAGAAUUAGUGAUAUCAAGUUUGAGUCCUUGUUUGAGUUUUCAUGUGCGGUUCUUGAUUCAAGAAAAUAUCUACGAAAGUUCAAGAUUAAAAUUUGUUAAGGUCCAUCUCAUGACCUUACUCUAUUUUGUUUGAACUAAGUUGCAUGCUCAUACAUAAUAUUUUUUUAGUAUAUAAUAUAUGAUCGCUUGACCUUCGUGGAGGAGCAAGUUGCCAUUCUUGCCAGGUGUGACACUUGCACUUGAGAGCCAUUCCUAUGGUUAAGGUCCGUUGGAGGCAUCGUCCAAUUGAGGAGGCUACCUGGGAGAUCGAGCACGAUAUGCGGGAGCAGUUUCUUGGCUUUUUGAGCCUUCUAGUACUUCUUGACUCUUAGUUUCGCGGACUACCAAUGUUGUAAUGACCUUCAGGUCAUUUUUGUGUUUACGACUCAUGUUCGCCGUUUAGAGCAUUCUUGUAGCGACCCCAAGUCAUUUAUGACUUGCUGGGACUGAUAGUUUGGUCACCUGGUCGUUCGCUUAUUUUUUAUCUGAGUUUUAGUCAGUGUUAUGAAAGGCGCUCGCCAUUUCGCCAAAGGCGAGAGGCGAGGCGAGGCCUCAUCGCCUAUUAUAGGAGCGGCGAUGCGAUUUCAGAAAGACGAGAAAUGGCGAUAGAAAGGCGAGAGGCGAUAUGGCAAGGCGGGGCACCAUGCGUCGCCUGUUUGUUUUUUUUUGUUUUUAAAAAGGUCAGAUUUAAUAAUUAAAAGGUAAAAUUAGGGUUUUUUUUUGGUGUUUUUGCAAACCUGGGCUCCUCUUCUCUUUAUUGUGACUUGCACGAUCUCUUCUCCUCUUCCAUCGCGACUCUCUAGCCUUCGAGAGGACGAGACCUUCGCUGCUACUCAGUCCUCUGCGUCGCGAGUCGCGACUCUCAGGUACAAUCUUCUUUUUUUUUUUCCUUCUUUAGUUGUUCUCUUGUUCUCUACUCUGUUUUUCAAACAGUGGUGCAUGGCUCCGUUUUUCUUUUUCAAUUUGUAGCUAAUGAACUGACUGCCAUUCUGUUUCUGCCUAUAUUAUUUUUAAAAAAAAAUUCAAUCCUUCUAUAUUUAUUUUUUCACUACUCAAUUUAGUUUUAUAUUUAUUUUUUCACUAUUCAAUUUAGUUUUAUACUAAUUAAUGUAAUAUUUGUUUGUCCAUAAAUAGUGAAUUCAACGACGUCUGAUGGUAACAAAAAGGACAUUGGUGUAUUGCGCCUCAAUUGUCUUAUGAAUUAUUGAGUCAUUCAAGUUCUAGACUUUUAACAUCUACUAUUAAUUUUACAAUUGAAAUAUGCUAAUGAAUGUUAUUGCUAUUGAAAUUUUGGAUAUUUAUAUAUGCCCUUGUCGCCUUUCGCCGUCCAAAACACUGGUUUUAAUGUUUUGGAGCUUUUGAACCUUGAACGGUCAGUUUUGAUCAAAAUUCAAGAAGAUGACCUCACAAUCCAAUUUUGACGAUUCCAUCACCUCUGAAAGGGUCAUUUUAGGUUAGUAGCAUGGUCGGCAUGAAUUUUGAAGCUUUCCGUGGGAGUCUGUGCGAUUAGGCAUUUUAACUUUCAAGUUAAGACUUAAGUUUGACUUUAGUUAACAUUCUGAGUAAACGAGUUCGGAUGAGAAUUCUUUCAAUGCGGUUAGCUCUGAAAUGUUGAAUUUGGACUAGAACAGCCUUUCAUUUGGAUCCCGAGGUUUCCAGGCAUAUUCCGAACCCCCUUGUGGAUUUUGGCUUAAAAUGGAGUUUGGGUGUGGGACCCACUUUUUGCUGAGAUAACCUCGUAUGGGAUUUUCGACUGCUCGAUUGAGUCCGGAAUAUCAAAUUUUGGUAGGGUUGCAUAUUUCGUUUGCAUGCAGGGGGAUUCAAAUAAAUUCAGAGUUUAAGCAAACUAGCUGAAGUGUUGAUAUCUGGUGCAAGCUUUUAGCGACCAAAAUUGGACUUUUAGCGACCAGAUCAAGGAUAUUUAUAUUGCGAACUUGCAGCCUUAUUUUUUAUUUUCAAAAGGCGAUUUCCCCUCAUUCGAGCUCCAGAUUGAGUGAUUCAUAGUCUUGUGUGACCGUUAAGAGCGUGGCUACUUGAGUUUCUGACUAGAAUCUGUUGAGGAACCUCAUCGCUUCCUCAUUUCUUGAUUUUUUUUUUCCCUAUAAAGAAACUCUCUCUAAAAAAUUCUCUUUGAAGGAGACACACUACCAGUUCUGCCGGAAUGGCUGCAUAACCGCCGGUGGAGCCUUGCCGACCGCCAGACCUAUGACAAAAGAUGGACAACAGCACCACGCACAAAACCCAACUGGAAUCACCUGCUAAUUCCUUUCCUAGCUCUAUGAAUCUGAGAAAUAGUGUCGCAAUCCUUGUUCAAGUUUCGAAAGAAGAGAUACUUUGGGCACAAAAAAAUAUUUCCAUGUCGCAAGCUGGGUUGAUUCAUCUAGUUACGAUAGAUGGAGAUGAAUUCCCCCAUAAGGAUCUACAUACAAAGAUUCAGCCAAUUCCACCUUGCCAAUCCCGAGUUCUAGCAUAGCGAUUUCGGGGGAAAUGCGAUGGAAUCGCCUGAGCUGCGCACUAGAUUUCGAACUGAUUCCAAGGGGAUAAACAACAAAUUAAGCACAAGGGAGGAUUCACCAGGUCAAGGCGCAUCUAAAGAUGUAAUGGUAGCCAAUUGCAACGGCGAUGAAAGUCUCACCGGAAUUUUUGUUGAAGAUGUCGGAGCUCCAGUGAGCCAAGAGUUUCAAACCCAACAUCAAAAUGAUCAGGAAAGGGAGAUACACCACCCCACCUCUAAAAUCUCAAGUGUGGAUGCAUUCUACGAAUCAAACAAGGGGAUCAUAAUCCCUGAAGAACAAUAAAGGACAAAUUUGGACAAGGAAGUUCAGGUCACCGAGCUAAAUGAUUCACAUAGUGAUAUGAGACAGCUAAAUGAUCAAAAUAGGAAUUCUAAUAGAGAACAAAUUGAGGAAGCUCAAAGCUUCUCAAAAUUUUCCUUUAGAGUAGCUAAACGUGAUCUUGCAGAUAAAGAAGCACCUCGAGGGAGUCAACAUGGUAAGAACAGUGAGGGGAACAAUGAAGAACAAGGCUGGAAUCAACAAAAGGAAAAUAAGUUUCCCUCCACCCCUGUUCAGCAAAUGCGUAGCAACCAAGAAAUCUGAGCUUGUCCCUGAACCUGAUCCAUUUACAGUCGUUCAGUCUUAUGCUACCAGGUUAAGAGCCAACCAAGCCAAGAAUGAAGUUCCCAUUGAGCUAUCUAUCCCUAAAAUCAUAACUAGACAAGGUCUUCCUGCAGUUAUCAUCAAAAAGGAAGAUUACAUGGUAAAUCUAGAAGCUAGAUAUAGAUUUACUUUAGUGGGAAAAUUCACCAACACUAUGCCUAAAAUUGAGCUUAUUCGCAAAAGCUUCAUCCUCCAAACUCAAUUAACUGGAGGAGUCAAGAUAGCUCAUUUCAAUGCAAGGCACAUUUAUAUUGAUCUUGAUAAUGAGGAGGACCAUGUCUCUGUAUGGAACAAACAGAAAAUGUAAAUUGAAAGGCAACUAAUGAGACUGCAAGUCUGGACUCCUACCUUUACUCUGGAAGAAGAAACUCCCAUUGUUCCUGUAUGGAUUACACUUCCUGAGUUGCCUUGGCAUUAAUAUAACAAGGAAUUUAUCACAGCCUUAGUAUCUCCUAUUGGUAAGACCUUAUACUUAUAUGCAACAUCUCUCCAGAAAACUAGAGGAAAUGUCGCAAAAGUAAGAUUACAAAUGGAUGUUACCAAGGAAAGACCCCCCCCCCCNNNNNNNNNNNNNNNNNNNNNNNNNNNNNNNNNNNNNNNNNNNNNNNNNNNNNNNNNNNNNNNNNNNNGCACAACAUUGGGUGUUACCAAAGGAAACCCCCCCCCCCCCCCAAUGUUUGGAUGGGAUUUGAUGAAGAGGACUUCACUAUUGGGAAAUGGCAAGCUAUUCAAUAUGAGGGACACCCUGAUUGUUGUUCCUAUUGCAAACAUUAAGGCCACUUGCUCCAUGUGUGCAAAAUCAAGCUAGGGGAUGAAGACAAUAAGAGGAGAAAAGAAGCUGAAGCUGAAAACAAAACCAAAAACAAAAGAGCUGAUCCAACCACUAAUCAGGUAUCUUCUAAUCUAAAUGAUACUCAAUUAAUGCUAAUCUAGCCUGUACUAGUAAUGAAGGUGCCAAGGACAACCAUCAGCAAUUGAAUAAAAAUAUGAAGAACAACAAAUUGAGGACUGGCAAACUCAAAGAAGAAAACUUAAAAAUCAAGCCAAAAAAUGAUCUACAGAACAAGGUUGAUAAACCUAUUUCUCUAAGAUAUUAGCAAAAUAAUGACCUGUAAACUCACAACGUUUCACAAUCAGGUAUUGAGUCAAUGCUCCCCCAACUCCAACUCCUUAAUCAACAGCAAAUCAAGCAUUGCAAGGACCAGGUAUUGACUCAAUGCUCCAACAACCCCAACACCCCCAACACCCCCAUAGUAAUGCUUUUGUUGUAAUAACUGAUUCUGAAGUUUUGGGAGGUGAAGAUGGGGGAUUGAAGGAGAACAUCACUAACCUGAAGGAAGGGGAUCCAAAGAGGAGGGAUUUGUCUCGUGUUCUGCAUGAGAACCUUAGUGCCCCCGCUACCACAGUUCAGUGUCCAAUCAAUGUGAUAGAUUGAGUCUUUAUUAUAUCAGAUAGGGGUGCUCAAUUCACUUCAAGCUUUUGGAGGACUUUUCAUGAUGAGUUAGGCACUCGUGUUGACCUUAAUACAACUUUUCACCAGCAGAAUGAUGGUCAGUUGGAGCGUACUAUUUAGGUCCUUGAAGAUAUAUUGCUGGUUUGUGUCUUAGAGUUUAGAGGUCAGUAGGACCAGUUCUUGCCUUUGGCGGAGUUUGCGUACAACAACAGCUACCAUUCUAGCAUUUAGAUGAACCCGUUUGAGCUUUUAUAUGGUAGGAGUUGUCGCUCUCCAGUUGGUUAGUUUUAAACUACACAACCUAGACCAUGUGGCACAGACUUGAUUCAGGAGGCUUUGGAGCAGGUGAGGGUGAUUCAGGAUAGACUUCGGGCAGCUCAGAGUAAGCACAUGAGUUAUGCGGAUCGUAGGCGGCCUCCUUAGGGAUUCUAUGUUGGUGAUAGAGUCUUCCUCCGUGUGUUAUCCAUGAAAGGCGUGAUGAGAUUUGGGAGGUGAGGAAAGCUUAGCCCUAUGUAUAUUGGGCCUUUUGAGAUCCUUCGGACUGUUGGAGAAGUUUCCUAUGAGUUAGCUAUGCCUUCGAUGUUCUUAGUUAUCCACCCAGUUUUCCAUGUGUCGAUGCUGCACCGGUAUGUUCACGAAGAGUCUCAUAUGCUUCAGUAUGAUGCAAUACAGUUGGAUGAUCGCUUGAUCUUCGUGGAGGAGCCAGUUGCCAUUCUUGCCAGAGAUGUGUGACACUUGCGCUUGAGAGCAAUUCCUAUGGUUAAGGUCCGUUGGAGGCAUCGUCCAGUUGAGAAGGCUACCUGGGAGACCGAGCAUGAUAUGCGGGAGUAGUUUUUUCUGGCUUUUUUGAGCCUUCAAGUGCUUCUUGACUCUUACGAAGCGGACAAAAGUCUUUUUUUGUAGUGGAUGUUGUAAUGACCUUCAGGUCAUUUCAGUGUUUACGACACAUGUUCGUCGUUUAGAGCAUUCCUGUAGCGAUCCCAAUUCAUUUAUGACUUUCUGGGACUGAUAGUUCGGUCACCUGGUCGUUCGUUUAGUUUUUAUCUGAGUUUUAGUGUUUUGGAGCUUUUGAACCUUGAACGGUCAGUUUUGAUCAAAAUUCAAGAAGAUGACCUCAAAAUCCAAUUAUGACGAUUCUAUCAGCUCUGAAAGGGUCAUUUUAGGUAGGUAGAAUCGUCGGCAUGACUUCCAAAGCUUUCAGUGCGAGUCUGUGCGAUUAGGGGUUUUAACUUUCAAGUUAAGGCCUAAGUUUGACUUUAGUCAACAUUCUGAGUAAACGAGCUCGAAUGAGAAUUUCGUCAUUGCGGUUAGCUCCGAAAUGUUUAAUUUGGUCAGAAGCAGCCCUUCGUUUGGAUCCUGAGGCUUCCGAGCAUAUUCUGAGCCCCCUUGUUGAUUUUGGCUUAAAAUGGAGUUUGGGUGUGGGACCCACUUCUUGCCGAGAUGACCUCGUAUGGGAAUUUGGACUGUUCCGUUGAGUCCAGAAUAUCAAAUUUGGUAGGGUUGCAUAUAUCUUUUGCAUGCACAGGGUUUUGAACGAAUUCAGAGCACCCAAUUGGAGAAUUCGGAGUUUAAGCAAACUAGCUGAAGUGCUGGUAUCUGGUGCAGGCUUUUAGCGACCAGAAAUCAAACUUUUAGCGAUUAUAAUUGAACUUUUAGCGACUAGAUCUCGGCUAUUUAUAUAGCGAAUUUGUAGCCUCAUUUCUUAUUUUCAAAGGGCAAUUUCUCCCUCAUCCGAGAUCCAAUUUGAGUGAUUCAUAGUCAUGUGUGAUCGUUGAGAGCGCGGCUACUUGGGUUUGUGAUUAGAAUCUGAUGAGGAAUCCCAUUGCUUCCUCAUUUCUUGAAUUUUUUCUCCCUAAAAAAACUCUCUAAAAUAUUUUCUCUGAAGGAGACACUACCAUUUCUGCCGGAAUUUUUGUUGAAGAUACCGCAGUUCCGGUGAGGCAAGAGUUUCAAACCCAACAUCAAAAUUAUCAGGAAAGGGAGAUACACCACCCCACCUCUAAAAUCUCAAGUAUGAAUGCAUUCUACAUAUCAAACAAGGGGAUAUGAGACAACUGAAUGAUCAAAAGAGGAAUUCUAAUAGAGAACAAAUUGAGGAAGCUCAAAGCUCCUCGAAUUUUUCCUUUAGAGCAGCUAAACGUGAUCUUGCAGAUGAAGAAGUACCUCGAGGGAGUCAACAUGGUAAGAACACUGAGGGGAACAAUAAAGAACAAGGCUGGAAUCAACGAAAGGAAAAGAAGUUGCCCUCCACCCCCUGUUCAACAAAUGCCCAUCAACGAAGGAAUCAAAGGUAAGUAUUCUAACACUUCUUCAAGUCCUAUGCUUUUAACUCAAUAGGUGUAGUUGAUACGUAAAUGCAAGUCAUUGCAAGUGAGCAAAAUUGUGAACAACUAACUUCAUAUAUGCAGAAUAGUGAUCAAGGGACUAACACUUCUGAUAUACCUCCCUCAAAUAAGCCCAAAAACAAUGAAAAUACCAAGGAUCAUGAUAAUAGUCAUCAGUCUCAAAAACUUCCCACAUCCACCCCUCAUGACCUCAAUAAACUCACUUCCAAUUUUGAGAAACAUACUCCUAACCUUCAGAAUAAACAGCAUGUGCAUCCAGAAAACUCCCACAGAAACACCAAUCAUGUGACUUUGUCCAAUACCUACAAAUGGAUGUUACCAAGGAAAGACCCCCCCCCCUUCCCCAUGUUUGGAUUGGAUUUGAUGAAGAGUACUUUACUAUUGGUAAAUAACAAGCUAUUCAAUAUGAGGGGCUCCCUGAUUAUUGUUCUUAUUGCAAACAUCAAGGUUGUUCCAUGUGUGAAAAUCAAGCCAAGGGAUGAAGACAAAAAGAGGAGAAAGGAAGUUGAAAACAAGAUCCAUCUAAACCUUCUAGUUCCACCAACACCCCGCCCCUCCCCGCGGCAGACCAAACACCAGGUUCUAUAUUCAUCAAAAAAUUUCCAAUGACUAGUACAAUUAUUUGGAAUGCUAGGAGUAUCAAUACCCAAGGUGCAAUGGAAAGAAUCAAAUCUCUCAAAAAGAUCCAUCAUACAUUAAUUAUUUCUCAUUUGGUUGUUUUGGUCUCAGGAUGUGGAUUGUAACAUUAUUGACAAUGAUGAGACCCUCCACGGUCCAUUAAGGUGCUCGUGGUAGGUUUCCAGCCCCAUGCAGGCUUUACUUUGACGGACGCCUAGACAGCCCGUGGUGAGGUUGACGGGCCAUCAAAGUAGGUCGUCAAGUGGGUCAAGUUAGUAAGGGUCCUCCCCUAGCUACUCGUUAAGGGCCACGGGCAUCACAACGGCCCGUGAAGCCCCACAUGGACCGUGAGGUCGUCCGUGAAGGGUUUUUAAUAGAUUUAAAGUUUAGGGUCAACUUCAAACGAUCAAAUCUUUUAAUUAUGUGGCCCAUGACCUAUCAAAUUAAAGGUCUCUGAGUCCUUUUUCCAACGCCACUGAGUUUGCCCAAUUCCCAUCUCGGAGUAAAAAUUUAUUCCCGAAAUAGUGAAGCACUGUCAGGUUGAAUUUCUUCACGACCCGUUUGACGGGCAGUGGUGGUCAUGACAACCCGUGAUGGGCUUCCAGUGAGCCAAUUCGGCAGUUUUUAAGUCAGGGGUUAUUGGGUCUUUUCCCAAUUGUUUUAACUCAAUACUCAGUCAUUUUUUACUUAUACCCAAAGCCCUAUAUAAUGAUUCUAAACCCCCAAAUGACCCAAACUAAAUUAUUCUCUCAAAUUCUCAAAAGAAGAUUAGACUCCUCCCUUCAAAUAUUUCUCCCUCUGGAACUUGAAGAAGAAAGAGUUGUAGCUAGGAUCAAGGUCAAGUCUCCAUUCCUUAAGAAUUUGUGGGCUUUGUUAUCAAGGUAUGAUGGCUUUUUAUUCAUGGAAUACUUUCAUCCAUGGAGUCCCCAAGAUUCGCCAAUUGAAAAGUAGAAAUUCCCCAAUUUGAGUUAGAGUUUUCUUCUAAUGUUGUGGGUCUUGAUCCAAUUGAGUGGAUUAUGAUUGUUUAUGAUUGAAUUGAUAGGAUUACAUGUUUUUAGGAUGAAUUUACAUGUAUCCAUGCCUAACCCAUCUAGAAAAAUGAAAUUGAUGUAAAUGGGUUUUAUGUCAUGAAAGGAGAAUUUGUGGGUUUAGAUGUAUUCUUAUAGGAUUGAUGAGAUACAUAAAGAAUUCUUUGAGAUUGAAGCAUAUAUGAUGAUUUAUGCUUAGAAUUGUCUUAAGAUUUAGGCAUAUAUGAAGCGUAUAAGAUGUAGGGCUUUGAAAGUAAAGCUUCUAUUAUGAAUUGAUGAUUUAGAUGUAAAUGUUGUGGAAGGGAUAGUUCCCAUAUAAAUUGCUUAUGUAUGAAUGUGAAUGGUUUUCUCACAUUGAAUGAUUCUAGGUUGAAAGGCUUGCUCACCUAAAAUGAAUCUAAGAACUUAUGAAUUAUGGUAAUAAGACCUUGGAUUGGUAAUGUGAUACCUUUCCAUGGAUAGCUUGGAUUGGUAAUGUGAUACCUUCCAUGGAUAUCUUGGAUUGGUAAUGUGAUGCCUCCAUGGGUAGCUUGAGUUGGUAAGUAGAUGAUGCCAUCUCAUGGUAGCUUGAGUUGGUAAGUAGAUGAUGUCAUAUCACGGUAGCUUGAGUUGGUAAGUAGACGAUGCCAUUUCAUGGUAGCUUGAAUUGGUAAGGAGGUGAUACCUUUUCAUGGUAGCUUGAUUUGGUAAAGAGAUGACACCUUUCCAUGGUAGCCUGGAUGGUAAUGAUGAUGUGCUCUUCCAUGGACAAUGGCUUAGCUUGGAUCGGCAAGAUGGCGUGCCUUCCAUGGAUAAUGAGAACAACUAAGAAUUGACUACUUCUCACAUCAAGUUAUCAUAGUUAUGAUGAAACAAGGUUCUUCAAGGAAGUAUCACAAGUAUGUUUAAGAUGAGAUUCACUUGUGUUGAUCAUGGUUUAUGACUUAUGUUGUUUAACUCAAGCUUGUGUUGAUGUUUUUACAAGCUACCAUAUUUAGUACAUGUUUGUACUAACGCAUACUCUUGCCUACAUUUCUUAUCCAAAUGUAGGGUUCGACGAUCUCGACUCGCAUCCCCGUGGCUAGGAUCUUAGUAGAGGCAAGACUUGAAGAUUAGUGAGUCCUCAUAGCAUUGAGGAUAUAUCCACCAUUUCCUUAUGAUCUUUCAUUUUAUGUUUUGAACAUUGUUGUAUGGGCAGUGUCCUAAGAUAUUCAUGUUUUAGAUGGUUUUGAGACAAAGUGUAAUAGACUUCUACUUUUGUUAUAAAACUUUGAUGUUGUUGAAAAUGUUUUAAAUUUCCGCUCAUUUCUAUUAUCUUAUAUUAUGAACGCUAAGUAGCUUGUAUGAGGCCUCUCGGGGUCUUGUACGCCUUGUUAUAUCUAGGGGGUACCCCUGGGUCAUGACAAUUACCCUAUCAUAUGAGUAAAAGUUUUGAAUUCAUUGGAGUAAUUGAAGCUUGUGGGCUUAUGGACCUUGGCUCUAAUGGACAAAAAUUCACUUGGUCCAAUCAAAGAGGCAUUAAUUUCAGAAUUUGGAAGAGUCUGGACAAAGCUAUGGUGAAUGACAAAUGGUUGGGGAUCAUGCCCCACACAUCUAUCAAUCUUCUACCCUCUGUAGGAUAUGAUCACUAUCCCGUUCUGAUGGAAAUGAAUGAAAUUCAGCAUAUACCUAUCAGAUACUUUAAGUUCCUUAAUUGCUGGGAUGAUCAUCACUCAUCCCUGGAUAUUGUGAGUGCUGGAAUAGAGAGAUGGAGGGCAAUCCUAUGUGGCUCUUCCACCAAUAAAUAAAAAGACUUUCAGCAACCCCUAGUAACUGUCGUGAAGGAAUUUGGUGAUAUUCAUGCUAAUGUCAAAGAUUAUGAGGAAAAGGUUAAAAUUGCUGAAGAAGAGCAUAUUUCCAAGAACACUGAAUAAUCCAGAACUUCUCUUCAUGCAAUUAAUGCUGAAUAUAUCAGAAUUCUCAAGAUGAAGGAAUCUAUCCUCAAGCAGAAAACUCAAUUACAACGGUUCAAGGAGGAGAUAUGAACGCUGCUUAUUUUCACGCUUUGAUAAGAGGCAGGAGAAGGAAGCUUCACAUCCAUAAGAUUCAAAAUGAUCAAGGUGAUUGGGUUCAGGGUGAGGAAGAUAUUACUAAAGCUGCCAGUGAUUAUUUUCAGAAUAUCUUUACUGGUGAGGAGAAGUUUAUUCAUGAAGAGGCUCUGAAUAGCGUUCCUAGAAUGAGAGAUAACAAUACUCUUCAAGCUAUAUCAACUAUGGAAGAAUUGAAAUGUGUAGUUUUUCCAUGAACCCCAACUCUACAGCUGGUUCUGAUGGUAUGAAUGGGAAGUUUUUCGAUCUUACUGGGAUAUCAUCAACAAAGAUCUGCUGUCAGCAAAAGAGGUAUGGUAUUAUCUCAAGACUGAGUAUGAAGGAGAUGAAAGAAUUCGAGGGAGCAAGUGUUAAAUUUAGUACGUCAGUUUAAGCUGCAAAGGAUGAAGGAAAGUGAGACCAUAAAUGAGUAUUCUGACGGACUUCUUAAUAUAGCAAAUCGAGUCAGAUUGUUGGGUUCCACUUUUAACGAUUCAAGGAUUGUUGAGAAAAUCCUUGUAAUAGUACCUGAAAGAUUUGAGGCUACUGUUACAACCUCAGAAAACACUAAGGACUUGUCCAAAAUUACACUAGCAGAGCUCUUAAGUGUUUUUCAAGCACUAGAGCAACGGCGUGUAAUCUCACAUAAAAGAGUUGUUGAAGGAGCCCUAUUAGUUAAACAUCAAGAUGAUGGAAGAAACAAGAAGAAGCAGAACAAGAAGAUACAAUGACAUAAUAGUGAGAAUUUUGCUAAAAGAAAGAACGCUAACGAUUCUCCUUGUCGGCACUGUGGCAAAAAAGGGCACCCUCCUUUCAAAUGUUGGUGGAGACCUGAUGCAAAAUGCAGCAAGUGCAAUCAACAGGGUCAUGAAGCUGUAAUUUGUAAAGCCAAAAUUCAGCAGCCUAAAGUUGAAGCUCAAGUUGUUGAUCGAGAAGAAGAAGAUCAUCUCUUUGUUGCAACUUGUUUCACAAGCCUAGAUUCAAGUGAAAGUAGGUUAAUUGAUAGUGGUUGCUCUAACCACAUGACUGACAUCUGAUAAGAUGUUGUUCAAAGAGUUGUGGAACACUGAGACAAAGAAAGUUAGAAUUGGAAAGGCCAGGGCGCCAUAGCCAUUACAGUGGCUCUAGAACUAAGUUUAUCCCAAAUGUUUUGUAUGUUCCAGACCUUAAUCGAAACCUUCUCAGUGUUGGUCAAUUAGUGGAGAAUGGAUUCAAUAUGUUCUUUUUAAACAAAACUUGUGUGAUAGAAAGAUCCAUCCGGCGAUGAGAUAUUCAAGGUCAAAAUGGAGGGGAGGUAUUUCCCUCUCAAUCCUUUGGAAGAAGAGCAGACAACUUUUCUUAUGUCAGGCAACUCUACAGAAGUUUGGCAUAAAAGAAUGGGUCAUUUUCAUCGUCAAGGUAUGAUGUUCUUUCAAAGAAAGGAACUUGUGAAUGAUACCAAGAUUGCAGAAUCGGUUGAAAAAUUGCCAAGCUUGUUUACUUGGAAACCUUUCCCAAAACAACUUGGAGAGCAUAAAAAAAGCUUCAACUCAUUCAUACAGACCUAUGUGGACCUCACAAAACACCAUCUUUAAAUGGUAGUCUGUAUUUAUUGAUGAUAUAACAAGACUGACCUGGAUUUUUUCUCUUAAAAUUCAAGUCAGAGGUAGCUGAUGUGUUUUGGAAUUUUAAGACAACAGUAGACAAUUUAUUAGAUCCAAAAGAUCUAGUAGAUGAUCCUCCUGUUAGAGGCAUGCGGUUGAUCUCUAAUAUCUAUCGGAGAUACAAUACUACAAUUUGUGAGCCCGCAAGCUAUGAGGAAGCAGAGGGGAUGACAAAUGGGUGGCAACAAUGAAGGAGGAGAUGAUGAUGAUCGGAAAAAAUCAAAUCUAGGUGCUUGUUGAGAAACCUCUAGACAGAAAGAUCAUUGGUGUAAAAUGGGUCUUCAGGACAAAAAUAAAUGUUAAUGGCUUCAUCAACAAACACAAAGCGAGGAUUCUAGUGAAAGGUUACGCUCAGAUCUUUGGAGUAGACUACUCAGAACUUUCACACCAGUUGCUCGACUUGACACAAUCAGAUUGCUACUAGUCAUUGCAGCGGAAAAAGGUUGGAAAGUUUAUCAACUUGAUGUUAAGUUGGCCUUUCUCAAUGGUCUUCUCCAGGAGGGGAUUUAUGUUGAGCAACCAUAUGGUUUUGUUGUCAAGGGGGAAGAAAAUAAGGUUUGUUUGCUAAAUAAAUCUCUCUAUGGUUAGCAAGCACCAAGAGCUUGGUAUAGCAAGAUUGACGAUCAUUUGCUAAGUUUAGGCUUCAAGAAGAGCCUAUCUGAGUCUACACUUUAUAUUAAGUGUUCAAGUGUAGACAUACUGAUUAUUUCUUUGUAUGUUGAUGAUCGCUUUUUCACAGGAAGUAAGGUUUUCCUAAUUGAGGACUUCAAGUUGGAAAUUAUGAAGGUCUUUGAAAUGACAGACCUUAGACUGAUGGUGUACUUUCUUGGAGUGGAGAUCAAGCAAAAUGAAGACAAUGUGUUCAUUUGCCAGAGAAAAUAUGCUCAAGAAAUCCUAAAGAAGUUUCAUAUGGAAGACUGCAAAGUUACGAGUACUCCAAUGAACCAAAAGGAAAAGUUUUCCAAAGAUGAUGGAACAGAAAAGGUGGAUGAGGCAUAUUAUAGAAGUCUUAUUGGCUGCUCGAUGUAUUUGACUGCAACUAGACCUAAUAUUCUAUAUGCAGUGAGUUUUUGUCUCGGUUCAUGCAUUGUGCAAGUGAUUUACACUUUAGAGAAGCUAAAAGAAUUGUCAGAUACAUCAAGGGAACUAUCAACUAUGGCGAUAAGUUUCACAAAAGUCAGAAGUUUAGACUUAACGGAUUCUCCGAUAGUGAUUGGGGUGGUGCACCUGAUAUGAAGAGUGUGAGAAAUAUAGGAAAAGAAUAUUACUGAAUUAUUGUUGUUUCUACAUUAUUACAUUGAACCAAAAAUAUUAUUGAAUUGUUGUUGUGUCUACAUUAUUACAUUGAGAUCCUAUUUAUAGACACCCUAGAAUACAAUCCUUUACCAAGUAGGAUACUAUUUACUAUUCCUAUUUCUAUUUGUAUUCCUAUUCCUAUUCUAAAUAGAAUUGUAUAAACUUAUUCCUAUUCUAACACUCCUCCUCAAGCUAGUGCAUACAAUUCAUGUACCUAGCUUGUUACAUAUGUAAUUAAUACGAAAGCCAAUGAAGGGCUUUGUGAAAUAUCUGUAAGUUGAUCAGUCGACUUCACAAAAUUGACAGUCAAUCUCAAUGUGCUUGUCUUCUCAUUAAAUACUGGAUUUGAUGCAUAAUGUCAGUCAAUCUCAAUGUACUUAAUCUUCUCAUGAAAUACUGAAUUUGAUGCAUAAUGCCGAUAAAACACAGAGUGAUAAAAUUACAGUGUUGAACUUUCCAAACCAAACUUCCAAAGACUGUUCAGACCAUAAAGUGACUCACAUAAUCGACAUACAAGGCUACUAAACUCCCCCUGAGCAACAAAGUGCUCAAAAUCUAGUAUAAAGUAUAUGGAUCAUGUUGGAAUCAAUAGAUGAGUCGAUAUUAAACAAGUCACCAAAAAAUUGGUCGGAACAUGCUUAUAUGCCGGAGUAUAAGAUUUGAUGGCUAAAAGUGGUCACAAACUAAGAAAUAAAAUUAUAUGGGUAGGGUCAGAAUGAUGUCACGACCCAACUAGAGAAAGGAAUUAUAUAGGAUAGUUCGAAUUGAUGGAACGACCCCAUUGAAAAAGAGAAAUAAUUGGGUAGGGUCGGAAUGAUGACACAACCCUACUGAUUUUUUUUAUACAGGUAGGGUUGGAAUGAUGGCACAACCUUACGCAAAUCAGAUUUGAGGAGUCACCGAAAAGACGAAUGGAACUAUGCAAAUCAAAUCUGAGGAGUCACUAAAAAGACACAUGAUGCUAUGCAACUCAGAUAUGAGAAAAUAGUUCAAAGAAAAUCCACGGUACUAUACAAAUUAAAUAUGAAAAGUAGUCUGGAGAGAUGCACGGUGCUACGCAAAUCAGAUAUGAAAAAAAGGUAGUCACCGAAAGGAUGGCACGGUGCUACACUAAUUAUAUAUAAGAAAGUAGUCACGUGAAAGAUACAUGGUGACCCAACUUUUGCUAACAUAAUCAUUGGCCAGACGGGCAACAUAUAUGGGUGCCAACCGCCGGCAGCGGAAACUCUUUGAUUUUCUACCAAGAUCGUAGAGGCUCUGAUACCAUGUGAGAAAUAUAGGAAAAUAAUAUUAUUGAAUUAUUGUUGUUUCUACAUUAUUACAUUGAACCCUAUUUAUAGACACUAGAAUACAAUCGUUUACCAAGUAAGAUACUAUUUACUAUUCCUAUUUCUAUUUGUAUUCCUAUUCCUAUUCUAAAUAGAAUUGUAUAAACUUAUUCCUAUUCUAUUCCUAUUCUAAUAGGAUUGUAUAAACAUAUUCCUAUUAUAACAAAGAGUACUUCAGGUUUUUGUUUCAUUCUUGAGUCAGGAGCUUUCUCUUGGUAUCCAAGAAUAAAGAUAAAGAUAAAGAUAUUACUACAAUCAACAGUCGAGGCAAAUUAUUGAUGCAACAGCAGCAGCUGUGAAUCAAGCACUAUGCUUGAGAAAAAUUAUGUGUGAUAUGAAUAUGGAGCAAAAAGAAGGGACUGAGGUUUAUAUUGAUAACCAAGCUGCAAUUUCUAUUGCUAAUAAUACAGUUUUUCAUGCAAAAACAAAGCAUUUCAAUAUUUAAUUGUUUUUCUUAAGAGGCGCAGUUUUUCAUGCAAAAACAAAGCAUUUCAAUAUUUAGUUGUUUUUCUUAAGAGGCAUGUAGAAAUAUGGAGAUGUGAAACUUCUUUACUACAAGAGUGAUGAGCAGGUUUCCCCCUUUCCCACUUCAAGACUUCUCAGAUCCAGAUAAAACAACACAAUUAUUAAUAGGGUGGGGUUGAUGGAGCAUUGAGUCAAUACCUUGCUUAUUAUUGGCAUCCUUGCUUUGCUUGUUAUGAAAUACUUUAUGGGCAACACUGGGAAUGAGGACAACAACACUACCAUGGGGUUGAGGGGUGGGAAGCAUUGAGUCAAUACCUUGCUUAUUGUUGGCAUCCUUACUUUGAUUGUCCUGAUAAACUUUAGGGUCAACACUGGGGGUGGGGACUGCAACACUACCAUAGGGUUGAGCGGUGGGGAUCAUUGAGUCAAUACCUUUUUGUUGUUCCUUACUAGUCUAAUUCUGAUGUGGUACUGGUUUAUAAACCUGAUUUUGUUGGUUGUUUUGGUGAUUCCUCUGAUUGUCCUGAGGAUAGCCUAUAAAGUUCUUUUGUGUUUGCCAUUGGUCUUCUUGCAUUAUUUGUUGAUCCUGGUGAGUUCUUGAUGGCUGUUCUUUGGUACCUGAAACACUAAGCAGAAAUAUUAUUUUUAACAGGUUGAGAAUUAAUUGGUAGAGUAGUUACCUGAGUGUCAUUUCAUUGUGUUGUUUUGGUUUUGUUCUUGUUUGCUG
RNAcentral lists this long non-coding RNA (72888 nucleotides) under Solanum tuberosum (potato). RNAcentral describes it as "long non-coding RNA (STUB_LNC001496)". Lineage: Eukaryota; Viridiplantae; Streptophyta; Magnoliopsida; Solanales; Solanaceae. The record is from RNAcentral.